RNAcentral lists this long non-coding RNA (81294 nucleotides) under Setaria viridis. Its description in RNAcentral is "long non-coding RNA (SVIR_LNC001643)". The record is from RNAcentral. Lineage: Eukaryota; Viridiplantae; Streptophyta; Magnoliopsida; Poales; Poaceae.
UGGGCGCAGGUGUGGAGUUGUUAGUGGGUGGUGUAUGGUUGUAUUCAAUUUUGUUCGUUCUAUCUAAUUCUUUGGGGGUUUGGGGGUUCCUUUCAUUUUUGCCCUGCCCAGCCCUGCCGCGGUGUAAGUAAUGUAUGGUUUUGGGUGUGGCGGCAGAUGGGGGAGGUGGCCUUCUCUGAUUGAGACUUGGGUCACUACUAAUUUUUGUUUCACAGCGACUAAUGGGGUUGGGGUGGGUUGGAAAAUGAGAUGGAGAAAUGAAGCAAGUUACUGCUUAUCUUGUUUGUACAGUACAGAGCAGUUCAGCUUCGUCGCCUUGGAAUGUUGCGUUUGCAAUUUUGCUGUGAUCUUCGAUUCCUUUGGACAUGGGAUUUCAUGUCUCUACUUUGUACUACAUUGAUGUGCUAGUGGUGCUUGUAUGUGCAUCUGAAGCUAGUACGUUUUUUUGGGAGGAAGUAGGGAAUUUUAACAAUUGUGAGGAAAUGACGGCAAUGUCCCAAGAUAUCCUUGCCCUACCUAUUGGGAUCCCCAUUCAUUGUUCAUCUACUGUGAAAAGCAAGCAGAAUGAUUUCGUUUGCAAGCCCAACAAAAUUGGUUUGGCGGUCCAUUGCGGCCCAUGAAGAUUCGGGGCUUCGGCAGAGAGAGCAGAGCACCUGUGUGAUCUGUGGGCGGGCCCAUUGUCAGCGAGAGAUUCACGACAGUAAAGGAGCAUAGCAUGUCCAUCCAGGGUCCAACUUCCCACGGUGAAGACUGAAGAAGAGAGCGGCGGUACGGGGGGAGUAGCGAAGAGAAGUUUCGCCGCUCGCCAGUGAGUGGGCAAUCCUUCACCACCAUGGCGGCUCCGGCGGCCAGCACCUCCGUGUCCGAAUCCGACGACUCCGACUCCGACUCCUCUCAGUUAGUCACUCUCUCUUUCUCUCUCUCCCCCAAGGGCCGGACCCUUCCGAUUCCCCGCAACCCCGAAUUCAAUCUACUCCAUAGGUGACGAUCGAUUUGGUUCGCUUCCCUUUUGUGGAGUUGAAGUUGGGUGUUCGCCAGAAUGGGGAUCGCAUUUCUGCUUGCGCGCGCGGUGUUUGCUGUUGCGGGGAUUGAUCUCGCUCUUCCGAUGUUGCAGGUGCAGCGAGGCAAGCACAUGGGAUUCUCAAGGUACUUCAUACAACUUGCUGCUCCCCUCCACUCCUCUCCCCCAUUUCUGUUUGCUCCCAGCAUGUCUGUGAUUUUGGUGCCGCGGUUUGCAUUGCACAGAGAUGCAGUGCCUGGCCUGCAUUGCGGUUCAGGCUUCCGUGCGCAAACGGACCCUUCGCUAGAGAAAUUAAGCAGCCAAAAUGGAUUUCCUGUUUUCCAACUCUUUUUUUUAAUGUAAAUGUCGAUCCAUCCCAGAAUUAUUUUAGUACGAGCUACAGUGGGGAUGGGGGAAUGCAACUAUAACCAGUUUUUGGCAGUGGGGAAUUAUUAUUUUGUAACGACAGAAUAUUUGUCACUAUUAUACGUGUAAGUAUCAUAUCCUUAGAUUUGAAUUUUGGGUUGUUUUAUACGCAAGUGUUUCCUGUCUUCCCCUGUGCAGUGUUACAAAGGCACGCUGAAUGUCUGGAGCUGGAGGAGUUGGCAGCAAUCUCAGUCAAUCCUGCUCUGCUUCGAACUCUCAAUCAUUUGCUUCUUGAGGUGUAUGCCAUUCUGCGUCCGAAGCCACUUGACUAUGGCCAGCGCAACACCUUGGUUGAUGCCUUCAGGAAGAUUACGAAACGAAUAUUUGGUAUAUUUCCAUUUCUUGUAGUUGUGAGUUGUGACUAUUCGAGUAUUUGAAUAUUGCCAUGAACUUCUAGCCUCCAAAUUUACCCCUACUAAGUAUUUGAAUAUUGCCAUGAACUUCUAGCCUCCAAAUUCACCACUACAAGUAAUAUAAAAAUGCUGACUGGUGAAUGGUGACUAUUUAUAUAAUUUGUGAUUAAUCUCUUUCAACAACUCUUCAUUUUUGACUCUGUGAAGUCAGUCACCCCUGGGGGAAAGAAUAUAUAGGUGAUUCUGCCAUUCUGGUCUACAACACCUACGAUUAUGAUAGUCAUAGAUUAUGUCCUGGCCUUAUGCGUCAAAUAUCUUUGGUAACAUCAUGAUAUCAUCAUGUACCAAAUGUUGUUUCAACAUGUACUGCUUUAAAGAAUUCGAAAACACAUACAUGUCAUAUUGAUCUAUUUCUAAUCAGAUGGAAAAGCAUACAACUUUAUUGGGUGGUAAAACUACUAGCAGAGGACUCUUGUUGAUGUGCAAAUCAUAUAUCAGUUGCAUGUUAUGUGGUAUUUUAACGAGGGGUGUGUGUGGGUGUGUUGUAUUUGAACCUUUUUUCUAUCUCAAUUGUGCAGUUCUUCUGCAUGUUUGCAAAAAAAAAAAAAAGAACACUGUUAUUUUGAUUGUUAUUUCAACUUCUGUCUCUUGCAUGUUUCUUUGACCUUUGUUUAUCAUAACUUUCAGGUAGCAACGAUGGGUUUCCAGUUGUGGAACCAUUUGGAUCAUUCACGAUGGAUUUAUUUACUCCUCGUAGUGACCUGGACCUCUCUGUCAAUUUCAGUGCUAAUACUGAUGAUCGAUAUACUCGCAAGCAAAAGAUUUCUGUAAUCAGGAAAUUUUCCAAAGUUCUAUAUUCUCAUCAGAGUAAGUAUUUCCUUAAACAGAAUAUUUUCAGAUAUUCAUUGCACACCCAUUGAUCUUUGUGAACAAUCCAUCCUUUUCUUAUAUGAAUAUGAUAUAUCCAGGGAAUGGAAUUUUCUGUGGGGUUUUACCUGUUGUAAGUGCUAGGGUGCCUAUUCUGAAGGUUAUUGAUUGUGGCACAGGGAUUGAAUGUGACAUUUCAGUUGAAAAUAAAGAUGGCAUGACAAGGUCAAUGAUCUUUAAAUUUGUUUCCUUGCUUGACGAAAGGUUUCAGAUACUAAGUUACUUGGUAAUGCAAUCUUCUUUUCCUUUCUAAUUAGUAACUUAGCAAAGUCAUAUGAUCAACUUGAAAUCAUGUGACAACAAUCUUGUCAUUUUCCCAUUUUUUCCUCAGGUUAAAUUCUGGGCUAAAGUACAUGAUCUGAAUAGCCCAAGAGCACUAACAAUGAGCUCCAUGUCAAUCAUUUCAUUAGUUGCUUUCCAUUUGCAGGUACCAUGGGUUUAUUAUUAUUUUGGUCUGGUUAUUAAAUUGCAACCAACUGUUUCCCUACAUUUUGUUUUUAUUAAUUGACUUGCUUAUCAAUCUGUAAAUUUGAAGGCAAAUUAUCUUUAGUGUUGACUAAUGUUUGAUAGGCUAGGUUAGUGUUGACGCUUUUUUGGGGCCAACACACGAACGCACUCUAGCGUGCAGCGCGCGGAGGAGCUCGAUGCAGCGCCUCUGCACAGGCCGGUCAGACCGGUUUGAUGGACCGGUCAGACCGGUUCGCCGGUGAGCUCGGCGGUAAACCUUCGAACGCUCGCCUGGGAAGGAUCCCGUUGGGGCAAGCGCACGCAGGGUUGCUCUAGGAUCGGAAGGCCACCUAGAGCGCCUUCAAACGUCACCGAGACGAAGGAAGAACAACAAGUAGUAGAUUGGAAAAGCUUGGGCAAAGAAUAAAGGAAAAGAUACAAAAAUAGUAGAUUGGUUUUUGUCGAUUGGGUUCUGUUGUCCUCAAUCGGCCGAAUCCCCUUACAUUUAUAGGGAGGGAAGGUCUUACCCACGUAGGAGUCGAAACCCUAAUACAAAUCGUGUCAAAUUACAACUCCUACUCGGAUUACACAGAUGCAAACCGGUUAGACUGGCCUAGGCAACCGGUCUGACCGGUCUGCCCGGGUGCAGAUCUUGCGAAGGUCGUAUCUCCCUCACCCGAACUUCAAAUCGAACGUUUUAUAUAUGAAUCUUGAUCUACUCGACGAGAUCUACACAAUGGUGGAGUCAAAUCUUCAUUUGGAGCACUUUGAUCCAUCCGGUCUGACCGGUUUGGUCAACCGGUCUGACCUGUCUGCAUGGGGUGCUGAUCUUCCCGAGGGCAUAACUCUCUCAUCCGAAGUCCAAACCGGACGUUCCAUAUAUGAAUUUGAUCGUCUCAACGAGAGCUACGCCAUGGUGAAGUCCAAUUUGCAUUUUGGGAACUUUCCCCAAACCGGUCUAACCGGUUGGGAGACCAGUCUGAACAAAUCUGACCCGAUUCUCCCAAGCCUGCCACUUUUGGGCGUCAACAGUUAGAAAACAUGGUAGAUGCCCUACUACACUUCCUCAGUCUGUAUUCUUUUGCUACACUUCAGACUACUGCAUUUUGUGUACCAGAAAUUGCAUUUUUGUUCCCUUCACCUUUAUGGUAGUGCGAAUAUUGAGCCGUGGCUCGUUAGAUGCACGUCUAAGAAAAUAAGCACCAGUAUUUUGUAUUUCAUUCUUUCUUUAGCUGAAUAAGUUUAAAUUGAAUCUUUGUGCAAUGUGCAGUGCAGACCCGAUGUCCUCCAAUAUUGCCUGCGUUCUCUGCCUUGUUAAAAGGUUAUCUUCUGUCAUGCUUGCUCUUUGUUUUUCCUUUUAUUGGCAUCAUUUUGCUAACUUUCUCACAUUGAAACUGAAGAUAACUGUCUAGAUUCUUGCUCUUACAGAUGGUUUAGAUUGUGCAAGCGUUGAGAGGAACAUUGUACUGUUUAAGGAGUUUGGGAGCAGAAAUACAGAAUCUGUGGCUGAACUGUUUGUGUCACUGAUUAGUAAAGUGAGUAAUUAUAAGGUUCACCUUCUACUUAUGUUCGAAGUGGAAAUUACUUUCUGUAAUUGAAUCUAUAAGAACAUGUUGUACCUUGUUAUGUUGGAUGUCUCUUCUAACAUACACAACAUAGGUCCUUUUAGAACCCACAACAGAUUUGAGUUAGACAUGCUCGAAUUAUAUCUGCAGAAAUUCUCUUAUUUACCCAUGGUGACAUUGUAGCCAGGAAUUAUGAUAUGAUAGCUUUUGCAUUUGCCGACAUUGUGGCGAUGUACUGUUCCCCUGAACCUUAGCAAGUUUAUUUUCCCAUUUUUGUCAGUAUUGCAUUGGUCUGUGUGUUAAGAAUUAUUUAGUGAUUUAUAUUCCUAUUAGUUUGCCCUGUUUUCUGCAACGGUACCAGGUUUCACUUUUUUUUGUUUGCACAUUAUUGCAAAUAAUUGUGCUCACUACUAACGCCAAAAUUUGGCCUUGUCCUGCAGCUGUUAUCAGCAGAGAGUUUAUGGGAGCAUGGGUUGUGUGCUAGCAAUUUUGAAGCGUCAUGGAUCUCCAAGACAUGGAAGAAGGGAGUUGGCAAUUUAAGUGUAGGUAUUCAUGCAUCGGGUACUAACAAGUAGCAAAGGUUAGGCUCUUACCCUGAAAAGGCAAACAACAAUAUUUUUGCUUCUGUUUGUGCAGGUUGAAGAUUUCUUGGACCGGUCGCAAAAUUUCGCAAGGUCGGUGGGGAAGGUGCAGAUGCAGAAGAUCUGCAAAUGCCUUAGACAAUGUGCUUUGAAUUUGUUGGAUUUCAUGAGGGGGAAAGUGAACACACAGAAGCUGAAGACCCUUUUGUUUGGGCGCCUUAGCCCAGAUGAGUUGGUCAGCAAACCUCGUUUGAAGCAUGGCAAGAGAAAAAAGAAGCGUGAACUUUUCCCGCAGGGUGGAUAUGCAUUCCAAAAGAGAGCAAAACAUGGUGGUGAUGCUGCAACCAGUAGUGACUUGUUACCCGCUCCUGCGUCUGACAAGGUCUUUCCUCCUGCCCGGCAUGAUCGAAGCCCCAUCCAGCAGUCUAGCAUUCAUCAUUUUGUGCCCGUUAUUCCAUGGCCUCGUAUCAUACCUUCUGGUUUUGGCUACGGGUCAUCGCUUGAGUUUCCAUCCAUAGCUAGUCCUCACCCUGGCAAAGGAAUACUUGGCAGGCCGCCAAGUAACCCCGGCAAGGGGAUACUGGGCAGGCCGCCAAGUGAUGUAGUUCCCUUGAAACCAAUGGAGCUCAACUAGUUCAGGGACAGCAAGGUCCACAUGUCCCGACGCCACGCCGGCAUACAUUUCAGCAGUCAUGUCGCAGAGCUUAUGAGGAGCCGGUGAUGACAGCUGCAAGUAGAGCUUGGGUUGUGUUGCUUUAGAUUAGAUUAGUGUGCUAGUUAAAUGUCUGAGAUGCAAAAGCUCAGGAUGUGCUGUAGCAGCUAAUAUGUUCCUCUGUCAACAGAGCCUUACUGGCUCAUUUUUAAUUACUCUGGUCUCACGUGCCAGAGACACAGGUAAUUGACCCUGGCAUGGUACUCGAUCGAUGAGCUUCAACGUGGUGUUUAGCUUGUUGUUAUUUUUUUUUGACGUGGGCUUGUUCUUUUUGAGGGGAAGCUAGCUGGUGAUUGCAGUUGCAACCCUGCUGCGCCAGCAGUAAAAUGCUAUCUGGUGAAGGCCGGUGAUUCCUAUGCAUGGCAUCCACAAUGUAUGCGUGGAGCGUCAGGUGAGGUGACACCGCGACAGCGCCUCCGGCGAUUCUUCCUGGAGAUAUAUAUUCGUUAGGUGUACGUGAUAUUCACUUUCUCCGGCUGACAUGAGUGCUUUCGCUAGCUCAGAUAUGUCGCAAAAAUUACACAGUGAUUGCACCAGCACCACAUCUGAUGAAUCCAACAAUUAGCUGUAGCGGUUUACAAACUAUUUUAUGGCUGAAAUGCAGCGUACGGUUCUUAAACUUGUCUUGAAAAUUGCAGAUAAAGGUCUAUAACCUAGUUACUCGCGCUCUAUGAUUUUUGACUUGUCAAUAUGAGAUCUCCACACUGAUGUCACCCGGUUUUAUAAGGCUAAAACCGAAUGCAAACCAUAUGUAUGCUAGGAUCAGUUUAUUCAUACAUGCGGCGACUUCAUCAUUGAAUAUCAUUACAAUGUCAUACAUAAAUGUAACUUUAAUACAAAAUGAUCCUUGGGUAAAAAAAAUACACUUAAGGGUUCUAGCGGAGUGGGUCUUUCGAGCUACAGGCAGUCUUCUAGGGAAUCGCCAGCCUAGUACGGAGCAUCCAGGUUAAAGCUAUCGUCUUCCUGGUACUCCACUUCUUCUCUAGCUUCUAAGCAGUGGUGGGGGAAAUAUAACAGGGGUUGAAAGGAAAAACGGUAAGUACAUCGAAAUGAAUCAUAUGACAUGAGGCCAAAGCAAGGAAAGGCUUACAAACUAUUUUAUGGUAAACUUGAAAAUUGCAGAUAAAGGUCUAUAACCUAGUUACUCGCCCUCUAUGAUUUUGACUUGUCAAUAUGAGAUCUCCACACUGAGAUGCCAUAUCUGCAACCAUAUGGGUAUUUUGGAAACUACCUAAAUGAUACAUUUGACAAGUUUGAUAAUCUGGAAUAUAUAUUUCUUAUGUGUACUACUAUUAUAAGAUUAAUGUAUUUUUUGUAUUUCUUGAAAAUGGGCUUUAAAUUGUUAUGCCCAUUGUAAUUUCUAGUAUAUUUUCAUAUGCUCCUAUUAUUUAAUUUAAAUUAUUCUUGUGGCUCAUUUGAAGGCUCAGUUGUAUUUUCUACUUUAUUUAAUUAUUUUGCAUUCAUGAUAUAUUGAUGAAAUGUUUUGUUCCUUGCGUACAAACUUUUUGUUCCAGGUGUAUUCAUGAUUUGUUCCUUUCAUACUUUUUUAUUUUGUUAGUAUCUAAUUUGUUCCAUGUAUAUAAAUUGUAUUUCCAUUUACGUAAUUCCUUAGUUCCGCUCGAACAAUUUCUAUUCUCACUUUAGUAGGAGCAAUUUUAUCCCAGAUCUCGGACAAAUCCCUUGUGAACUUGGAACAUUUGUUCCACAGCCAUAAAAAGUAUUCCACCUUCAUAAAAAAGUUUUGAGAAAAUAUACUCAAACAUGAUCUUGUUUUAAAGAUUUUAUCUUAAAAAUAUAAUAGCGCAUUUGGAAUUUGAUUUAGGACAUAUUAAUUUAGGACAUAUGACCUUUUAUGUUAGAUGCGGAUGAUGUGAUCAAUUUUGUUCCCAGGUGCAUGCAAUAGCUCACCUAACAUAAUGAGGGGGAAGGAGGGGGUGGUCUUUGGGAUAUCUUCUGCCACCCACGCGGACUGUAUCAACCCCUAAGUAGGGCACAAGCGUUUGUCAAGCGGUGAAGUCACGUUGUGUACUUGAUGAGAAAAGAGAAAGUUGAACAAUGACACGAAACGAGCGAGAUGCCAAGAUGGUUGCCGCCUUGUUUUUGGUUCUCAGUCACAAAAAGUGCUCAAAAGCUUUGUUUAGUUGGACUGAGGGGGUGUUUGGAUACCAGGUGCUAAACUUUAGCAGGGUCACAUCGGAUAUUCGGAUGCUAAUUAGAAGGACUAAACAUGAGCUAAUUACAAAACUAAUUGCACAUAUGGAGUAUAAUUCGCGAGACGAAUCUAUUAAGGUUAAUUAAUCCAUCAUUAGCAAAUGGUUACUGUAGCACCACAUUGUCAAAUCAUGGACUAAUUAGGCUUAAUAGAUUCGUCUCGCGAAUUAGACUCCAUCUGUGCAAUUAGUUUUGUAAUUAGACUAUAUUUAAUACUCCUAAUUAGUAUCCAAAUAUCCGAUGUGACAGGUGUUAAAGUUUAGCACGGUGUUCCCAAACAGCCCUGGAAAUUGCUACUCUUCAUUGUGAGUAUCUGUUAUUAAGUAUAGUGCGAUUAUCAAGAUAUUCUAAUAAUAUUUUGAGGCCGGGGUGGGGUUGUAUGUCUUUCACAGGGAGAGGAUAUUUAGGUUAAGUCGAGGAAUAUGGAUACCCGGGUACUCUCAUUAAGGGCUUGACUGACUACCAAUGGGCCGGUCCAACACAAGAAAGACAAGAUGGGCCAAACCGGCCUGACUACACAAAGAACCCAGACUACAUAGGUGCAAUUGUCCCUCCGAAGUGGUUCAUAUGACCUCGUUGUAGCCUGCGAUUGCUUUGUGAGGUUUGUUCCCCACUUACUCAUGUGUGCGAGCUGGUGUUCUUCAGUUACCCUUGUGGGAUUGCUGCUUGUCGACUAGGUGUUGCUGGUGAGGCGACCGACGACUAAGCCCAGUGAAUGUUAGGACUGCCCGGAGCGUACAGCGGAUAAACAUCAUGCUUAUAGUGUGACGGGCUUUAAAGAUCUUUUCAUCGAUUCGGGUUCUGACCGUGAGUUUCAUCGUGGGUUCUUCUUCAUUGCGGGAGAUGGAGAAGGCUCGGGCAAUGGCAAUGGCAAUCGACGGAGGCGAGGAUCGUCGGGUGCUCCUGUUGUGGAAUUCAUUGUAUUUUUCCUUUCGCUAGAGGCACCCUGUUCAAGGGGUUGGAUGUAAAAGUAUUGAUAAUGAAAUCCAACCCUUCUUCUAAAAAAAAAAGCAUGUACAAUUGUCUAUAGUAGUCGAUUAGGGGACUUUCCAUGUAACCAUACCCUCAAAUUAUAUAAGGGGAGGUGGAGUACCCUGGCACUAGGGGAUGACUCAUAUAUCACAAUCCAAGCCCUAAACCAUUUGAGCGCAUUGCACGAUACAAUCCCUGAACAAGACCUAGGGUAUUAUGCUACAACGGUAGUUUGAACCUGUAUAAAUCUGUGUGUCUUGUGUCCCUGUACAUAUGUUAGUAUCAAGUUCAUGGUUUUGCAAUCCCCUUCCCUCGAGUGGAUUGCCGAACUAGAAAUCCGACAGGAUCAAAGAGCAAGGAAAGGGUUUUCAUAGUAUAGGAUGGUUUAUAUAGAGUAAGAGAAAGUCACAAAAGCAAGCAAGGCACAAUAACAUCAAACGACAAAGGCUUGAACUCAGCUAAAGCUUUGGCAAAUUCUUUUCACGAAUUCGAGGUGUUACAACAAAUCAUGAAAUUAAACAUAUCCAUUGAGCAGAAGAGUUGACUUAUAUAUGUUUAGAGACAUUUGUUGUUAAACACACGUUGUACUCCGUCCGUUGUUAAAUAUAUGACAUUUAUGACAAGCUAUUUAUUAGUUUAUAGAUGUUUCUUUUUACAGCAUUUUCUUGUGAAAUUCUUUUUACUGCAUAACUUGUGUAGAACAUUUACGGAGUACUCCUCCUUUUCAAAUUGUAGGUCAUUUUAGCUUUUCUAGGUGCAUAGAUAUUAUUAUGCAUCUAGAUAUAGUGUAUGCCAACACUACUAAAAAACAAUUUGUAGGGGCGCCCUGAUUUUUCUAGGGGCGGACGAAAUUGCCACCCGCACCUACAAAAUGGGGUCGUUACUAUAGCAUACGGCCUGCCCCUAGAGAACUAUUUGCAGGGAUAGGCCACGGGAUGAUCCGCCCCUGGAAAUGAGGGCGAUUUCCACGGGCGGGCGAUGGGGUGACCCGCCCCUAGAAAUCACAAUUUGCAGGGGUGGGUAACCCCAUCACCCACUCCCAAAAAUUAUUUCCAGGGGCGGGUGAUGACAUGGCCUGCCCCUAGAAAUGGUUACAAUCCUUGAUGCAAUGCGCCAUGUCCUUAGCAGAACAUUUGGCAUAGUAACUCACUGCCUUCCUGAAAUGUGACUAUAGCAGGUGUCGGUGUUUAGACCUGGCAACCUACCGAGGGGAGUGCCCGAUGUGGUGUUUAGUUUGUGGGGCUCGCCGAGAUUAGGAACUUGAAGGUGAACACAGACACACGAUUUAGACAGGUUCGGGCCGCUAGAUUGCAUAAUACCCUACAUCAUGUGUGUUGGUUGGAUUGAAUUGCUUUGGAGGGGGUCUCUACCUCACCUUAUAUUGUCGGGGUAGGGUUACAGGUCAAUUGAUUUACAAGAAUACUAGUCGGAUUUGACUAGGCAAGUUCUACUCUGAUUGCUACGAGUACUUUUCCUAAUUCUCGACUAGUUCCCAUCUUGCCACGUAGACUGCGCUGUCCUGCGCCAUAGCCUCCAUGUUAGAUAUGUCUUAGUGUCCAGUCCUAUAUUUAGGACUAUCCAAACCUUUUGGUGGGCCCACAGAUGUAUGUACAACAAGCCUCCGAGUACUUUUUAGUCAAUUGCAGCAGUUCCGAGUACUUUUGUAGGCUUCACAAUUAGUUUUCGUGUUCUUCGAGCACUUCAUCAGGUUGAGUCUUCAAAAGUAUGUGAGCACUGCCAUGCGUCUAGAAUGUGCUCAAGCCUCAUUUAACUUAGUCUUGAAUCCUUCAUCUUUGAAUUUUAUAUGGAAGUGCAACGAAGGUCGCAUUCGAUAUGGAGUAACCUCUGAACCUUAGGUUGAAUCGAAGAAUCAAGCUGAGGUUCAAUCUGUAAUUUGCAUUGCUUUCCCCUUAAAACCUAGCGAAAAAACUUUUUUUACCGAUGAGCACGUGGCACACAGCCUCCGAGCCUUUUACCAACCAGUUUGGUGGGUAUAAGGGUCAACCUUUGGUUAACGUGACCAUCUCUAAAUGGAAACCCUAUCUCUUCCAAAAAUAGAGGUAACUGCCAAUCAGGUGCGGAAUCUUUGGGUCCAUUAAACCUGAAUAUUCCUUUAUUCCCACUGUUGUUACAGCACCGCGGUUAUAAAUAAUAGAGGAAAACAUCCCUUCCGAUUUACCUUUGCUAUCUGCCAUUUCAUCUUCCACAUUGUAGCUCUAGCACCACCGCUACCCAAUCUCCGAGUGCUAGGGCCACCGUCCUCCUCCACUCAGCCCCCGAGCGCAUGCGACAGAAGACACUCAUGACAUCGAGAAUGUGGAGGAAAGCUGCUGCAUCCAAUGCGGUUGAGGGUGGGAAGAAGAAAGUGGACAAGAAGAAAGAGCUGCAACUGUUGGCACCCAAGUACGGGAAGAUAGACCAAAUUGCACCUUCGACUCCUGCGUGUGCUUGGAAACGAUCGUCGCUGAAGGAGGAAGAGAUUAAGGUCCUGGUGGGCGCGAAUCUGUUUCAAGAUCGAGAUUUCAUCAAUUGGAGACCCGCCUUUGGCAACUCGUGGACACCGGAGGAGUACCUGGAAGAAACGGUAAUCUUCACGCAUUUCAUUGAGCGUGGUCUUGCUCUUCCUGCAUCAGAUUUCUUCCGAGGUUUGUUGGAGUACUAUAGAUUGGAGCUAGUGCACCUGAACCCCAACAACAUUCUACACAUCACUAUCUUUGUGCAUCUUUGCAAAGGUUUCUUAAGGAUUCGGCUCCGCUUCCAACUAUUCUAGAAGUUCUUCCGAGUGAAACCGCAGCCGAAGAUGGAGUGCAGCCAAGUAGUCGGAGGCGCCAAAAUUCAAAUGCGGGAGGAGCUCAAUGGCCUCUACUUGGAUUAUGAGCGAAUUGAUUCACAUGCCGGAUGGAAGGAGAAGUGGUGAUACAUUGGCAACCAUGACCCCAAGCUUCCUAAGCUAAUAGGGCAUCGCCCUACAUGGAACAACAGAUGGUUGGACGAGCCAAGCCAUGGAGACUGCCUGCAACUACCCGAACUCCUGGACAGGAUAUCCAAGUUGAAGCAAGAAGGCUUGACUGGAGUUGGGUGGUAUUCAACUUCAUGAAGCGGCGUAUUCAACCCCUGCAGCCGCGAUGCCACUUGGGUUACGAGUACUCGGGAGUCACUGAUCCAUCAAGGCUAUCUCCCAAAGAACUUAGCACAUAUGAGAUUAUGGCGAAGCUGAGGUGAAUGUUCAAGAAUGCGGGUGAAAUCCCCACUAUUGUGCGAGAGUUCUGUGCGGCCAACCCGCCACAAGCUGUAAGUACCCGUUGUCGCAGCCCCCGAGUACUCAUUUUGUUAAUGUUGGGGUGUACUAACUUGUCUGUCUGUGUAGGAAGAUGUACAUUUGUACUGCUCUGCUCCUCCUCCCGGAUCAGAAGACAUAUGUGAAGCUGCUCCUCACGUCCAUAUGGCGGCGAUCGCGGAAAGUGAUGCCGAGGAGGAGGAAGAAGUAGUCAAGGCCUCCAGCAGCUCUAAUUUUGAUGUCGCAGAGGGCUUUGAAAUCAAGGCCCGGCCAUUUGAUAAGGCCGGGUCAUCCUCUAGGUCAUCGAAGUGUGUAGUUGAAGACGAUCUUGAGGCUGCACUUCCUCCACCUCAGAGGAAGAAAUGGUCCAUUGCUGCAAAGCGGGCCGUGAAGAAGCCUGUUACUACAGAAGAUGUACCCCCCGUGGUAAUAGCCUAUGAAGAAGGACAAGAUCCUGAUGAUCGAGUACUCACAGUAGGUAAUUCCAAUACCACCAUGUCUACUCAAGAUGGCAUUGGUGGUGUGCAGGUACUUGAGGAGGUGACCGAGGCAGAGAAGGCGACUGCUGAGGCUACGCAACACAAGCUGCCGAUCAUCGAGGAGGUCAUUGGAAUCGAAGAUGAUCCAAAACCUCCCGUUGCUGAGGUGGAGCCUGCUAGUGCAAGAGCUACUCAAGGAACAGAGGCGGUAGCAAAGGUUGGUGAUGAUCAAGCUGCAUCUACUCAACUCGCACCAAAGAAAGCCCUCUCUGACCAUCAAGCCACUGCGCCUGAUAGAGGAACCUUCCCUUAAGCUAAGGAGAUCUUCAAAGUAAGUCUUGCUACUCCUUUGAGUACUAAUUACAACUUGUGAUCGACUUAUUUCAUGUCUCAAAAAACUUGUGUUAUGUAGAAAAUCUUCUAAUGUGGAACUUGGAGGGCCGAGCCUAAAGCCUGUGACCGAUGGUAGCAGCCACUUGGUCCAGGACGUUGCCCUGGCUCCAACAAGUUCGCAGCCAGAACAACAUCUUGCACCAAUAAGCAGCCCAGGUGCCAUAUCUCUCAUAGCAGCGUUGAUGUAGGAUGUGGUAUCUUCAAAGGUUUUAAUAAGUCAUUGAACUAGUAGAUGAAAGGUAAUUGAUCUUCUCCCUUGGUCUUCGAGUACUGAUUUUACUUGUAAUACUGAUCUUCUGGUGGAUUAUUUGUGCAGUGCUCGAGAAGUCGAAGGAUGAUCUCCAGGGACAAGUCACCGACUGGAAGAACUCUUACUACUAGGUGACGGAUCAGCAUGAUAAGCUGACUGCAUUUUAUGAGAACCUGGAUCAUCACUUGAAGAAGGAGAGGAAGAUGCGCGAAGACAGGGAGGUCGACUUGGUUAAUGCCAUGAAGACCCUUCAAGAGCGUGAGGCCAAGCUGGAAGCUGCAAGACUUGCUUUGAAGGAAAUUUCUGAAGCAUCCUAGCCGAUAGCGGACAUGGUGGAGCCCCCAGUUGAGGGUGUAGAGCCCCGCCCUCUAUCCGAAAUACUCAAGGAUGUGACAGCGAAGUUCACUAGCUACAUUCAGAAGAUGGCGAAGUCUGUCUCUAAGCAGCUGCUGAGCUUCGUCAAUUCAUUCUACCCUUCAGCUGAUCUGACGCCUGUGGUGGAGGGUAUAACGGAGGAUUGUUCGGAUGAGCUCUUCCAGCAGUACCUGCAAGAUCAUUGAAAACAUAGAGAAUCAUUUAGACCUUGAGUAGUCUUGUACAGAAAAGCAAACGUUAGUUCUUGUACUGUAAACAUGAUAUGAAUGCUCUGAAAUGUAAAUAAUUCUAAGUCUUAUUGCAAUUACUGCUGCUUUCGACUUGUGUUUUUUUAGUGCCUCUUACGAACUACCCUGAUAAUUACUCGUACGGUAGAUGUAAGUGUCUGCACACAAGGCUUCUUUGAUGAGCCUCUUCAGAUACGCAAUUUAGUGUACUUAGGAUGCGACUCCUUUCUGUAGAGUACAAGUACUCAAGGUAUCUGGGUAGUUAGACCUCUUGGGCGAGUAGUCUCCUCAUGGUUUCUUCAACUAGAGCCUAUCUCUACAAUGUCUCUAUUGUAUUGAUGUUGUGCUCUUAAAAACCCUGGAACUGCAAACUUGUUAUUACAAGCCGCGACUAGACAGACUUGCCUAGUAGAAAGUAUCUUAGGUAGUUUAGUUAACCCCCGAAGUAGCGAGCCGCUAAGGGACAGAUUUUUCCAGUGAGUUAGUAAAACUCUUUUAAAAUUUUUGCAAACUUAUUAUUACAAGCCGUAUGUGGGCAAUUUUACCCAAGGAGCUGAAUAGCUUGCUGUAGUUGUGCAGACUUGUUAUUGUAAGCUGCGAUUCGGGCGAUUUUGCCUAGAGAGCUGAAUAGCUCCGCAACUUGCUUCUGCAAGCCGUAAUUAGGCAGAAAUAAGUAGUCAUAUUACGACAAAAAAUAAGUCUACUUUAUUGAAUUGAAAUUCUACAACUAAGGCCGAUGAUCGAUGUACAUGAAUGUGUAAACUAGGGAUAAAAUUGGCAAAGUUGCUCGAUGUUCCACGAGUUGUCGAUGUCUUCACCAGAGAUGUGUUGGAGCCUAUACUACCCAAGUCCAGUGACCUUGAAGACGAUGAACGGACCCUCCCAUGGUGAGUUUAGCUUGUGCAGCCCCUUGAUGUCUUGAAUACGCUUGAGGACCAUAUCCCUAUAUUGAACGAAUGUUGUUUGACAUUGCGAUCAUGAUAGUGGCGGAUUCCUUCAAGGUACGUUGCGAACUGGACGAGUGCUGCACAGUGAGCUUCUUCGAGGCUGUCUAAGUCUAGAUGCCUUGUUUCUUCUGCUACACCCUCCUCGUACUGCUCAACUAUUGGAGAUUUCCACAUGACGUCUGCAGGAAGGAUAGCUUCGGAUCCGUAGACCAGAAAGUAGGGAGAUUGCCCUGUAGGGUUGCACGGUUGGGUAUGGAGCCCCCAGAGGACAUUGGGUAGUUCUUUGAGCGACCUGCAUCCUUUCGUGUUUCCAAUAUCAUGCAAUCUUUUUUUGAGAGCUUCUAGUACCACCCUAUUGGUGUGCUCAACCUUGCCAUUGGCCCGUGGAUGAGCGACAGAGACAUACCAGAUGCCAAUCCCACUAUUCUCGCAAUAUUCCUAGAACUCGUGAUUGUUGAAGUUAGAGCCCAGGUCUAUGAUAAUGCGAUUGGGGAAGCCGUAGCGGUGGACGAUUUCAUCGAGGAAGUCGAGUACUCUAGCUGCCUUGGGGUAGGUUACUGGCUUCACCUCGAUCCACUUAGUAAACUUUUCGAUUGCCACUAGUACUCAGUUGAAUACUCCAGGCACUGUAGGUAGUGGGCCAGUCAUGUCAAGUCCCUAGCAUGUGAAAGGCCAAGAGGGUGGUAUGGUGAUCAACUUGUGUGUAGGGACGUGCUGUUGCCUUGCGAAGAAUUGGCAUCCUUGGCAUCUGCGGACUAGUUCCUCGGUGUUAGUAAGAGCUGUAGGCCAAUAGAACCCUACACUAAAAGCUUUAUGUCACACCCAGUUUUAAAGGUAAAACCGAAUGCUACCUAUAUGUAUGCCAGGAUCAAGUUUCAUACAUAUAGUGACAUCAUAAGUGAAUAACAGCAACAGUAUCACGUAAAAAGAUACAAAGACUUACGAAACCAUCAGAGAUAUACACCUUAAUUAUGGAAACGGAGGCUCCAAACUUCACAGGCAAACGACUGGGGGUUGCGUACGCCUAGAACUCAGCACCAUCUUCACAACAACUUCAUAGCAGCUUCUUCUUCUGAGCAAUGUUGGUUAUAGCAAGGGUGAGCACUUGUCGUACUCAGCAAGUGUGAGGAGAAUAUGAAUGCAGGGGUUAAACAAGGAAAGGCUGACUGGUUGACUGCAUUAAGCAUUUUUAGUUGGUCAAAUUUUAUUAGCACCUGAUUACUAAGGUAUAAGUAUAUACCAACCCACAAUUAAUAUAAGCAUAAACAUAAGCCAUAAGCAUAUGGCACAACCAUAACCAUAGCAUAAACCACAAUUUAAAUCCAUCUUCAAGUAUAUUACUCAUGUGAGGGUCCAGGCCGCUCUUAACCGUGAGCACGGCUGAUCGAUCAGUUUUACACUCUGCAGAGGUCGCACAUCUUUACCCACAAGUCGCGUAAAAGCUCAAAAGAACUUUAGACCCAACCACGCUUGUGCUGAUCAGGCACAAUACCACACUUCCGAGGUGUGAUUGCAUAGGGACGCUACGAGGCCUUUACAAAGAUUCAUUAGUCAGUGGUAACCCGCUAAGGUUUCGGUGUCUGGCGUGCACCACCCAUCCCAGGUAAAAUGCAACGACUCAGUCCCCCCUCUUGCCUCAUCACGAGUAAGGUCACCCCAGACUAAGGUUUCUAAUUAAUCAGCCAAGACCAGAGCCAUUUAGUCUUGUGGUAGCACUGUUUUCCUGGGUGGUUCUCCAUGUUCCAAUUAACAUUGUAAUCUUGUAUUAACAAGAGGUGUAGCAUAAAUAAAAUAAGUUCAUCAUCUUUGUUCAUUAGAACCACCAUAACCCAAAUAUAGCAGCUAAGCAUAGCUACCCAACAGAAAGGUAAACCCAGGUUGGCAAGGAAUAAUCACGAAAACUAGGCAAACCUUAAUAGGACCCAUCAAAUUUAAUGCAAGCAUAUGCAAUAGUGAUUAAACAGAGUUAUUGGGAUAAAAGCACAAGGACACACUUGCCUUUCUCCAACGAAAAGUUACUCUUACUUCUCUUCGGCUCUUGCUCACUUGAAACUUGUACUCUUAAGAGCUUCCGAACGGCGAUCCUUCUACUCGGAGCAAACAUCGGCACAAACAUGCAAGCAAACAAACAAAUACAACUAAGAGCAGUACACCAAAAUAAAAGACAGACUUUAAAAGAGCGUACUAACGACAAGGCUCGAUCUAAGGUCACGCGAACGUAAGGAACACUUAAAACGGAACUAUGGUUGAAAAGAUAAAGCUAUCGAGAGUUUUGAAUUAUAAAAGAAAGAUAAGAGCUACAAGCUUUAUUUAUUUUAGUUGAGAAAAGCAAUGUAAAGAUAUUUCAGAGAAAUAUCCUUAGUUAGAAUUAAUCAAGUCAUAUUUAUAUUUUCAUAAGAAAAGACGGUGUAAAGCUUACUCCAAUUUUAUUUAUAAAUAUUUGAGUACAAUUUAUGCCAAUUAAACAUUUAAUUUAAAAAUAAGAUACAUGUAGACAUCUAAGCGUAUAGCUUUACAUCUCGAGUUCAACUAAGUAGAUUAAAUUAAAAACACAUUUACAUUUAUAUUAGCCAAAUUAAUAUUUAAUUAUGAAAACUCGAGAUAUAACCUAUACAGAUUUUAUUUAGAAAACAAAUUGAAUAAACAUUAAUCAAAUUGAAUUUAAUUUAUGAAACGCCGAGGUAUAACUCUAAGUGGCUUUUAAUUGGAAGAAUUAUUUAGAUAGGCAUUAAUCCAAUUAACUUUAGUUUAUGAAAAACCGAUAUAUAACCUAAUUGGCUUUUAUUUAGAAGAGGGUAUGAAGUAGGUAUUAAUCAAAUUAACAAUUAUUAUGAAAAACGAUGUUUAACGCUAAAUAGAUUUUAUUCAGAGAAGAACUCGUUUGUCAGGCAUUAAUCAAUUUUAAUAUAAAUUUUAUUUUCAAAAACAUGUGUGAAGGAAAACAUACCACUAACGUGUAAUUUACAUCAUUAUGAAUCUAACGCAACUUGAACGGACGAAAACGGAAUUAAAACGUGGGUUCUAUGGGUUAAACAAGGUUGUAGGGGCCUAAACGUAAUUAACCGUAGACUUGGAGGGUUAGCUGAGAAGAUUGGCAAGACACAAGAAAUAGUGCUCGCGAAAAGGUUAAAGGACAGGGUUAGAUUUGCAAAACCGCAGGGGCUGGACUGGAUCUAGGGAAACUAAUAGAUCCAGGGGGUUAUCUGCUAGUUUGCCAAGACACAAAGGAAAGAGGAAAAAAUUACAAAGUUCUCCAGGGGCUAAACUGAAAAACGGCGCUUCAUCUUCUUCCCCACGCCAGGAGCAGGCGGCGGACAGAAACAGAAGGCAAGGCAGUCUGUUACGGUUGCAAAAACAAGGAAAAGAGAGAAAAAGAGGGAAUCGCCGGAAACGAAGUCCGAUCUCGCGCAUGAACGGCAAAAUGGAACGAUAUCGACGAGGCGAACAAGAUGGUGUGCUCACCUUCGGCAAGAGAUGAACAAUGGUGGCGGAAAAGCUCGCCGGAGUUGGGGAAGACGACGGAGCCGACAUCGGAUUCAUGCAAUCCACCACACCACGGCGUAGAGCUCGAAGAGAGGAACUCCAUGGUGGUGUCGGUUUUCGCCGGAAGUUCACGGUUUCGCCGGAAAAGCUCGCCGGAGUUUGACAAAGACCGAACUUUGACUUCAGAUCUACGGAGUUAGGAGAUGCAACUCGUAAAAAGGUUUUCAGAUCUGAAAUCCUCGCGUCGAGACGAACGCGGUGAUAUAUAUAUACGCCACACUCGGAAAAGAUAUUUUCGAGUUGACUUUUUGAUUUUUCGGAUUUUCUGAAUUUAUUUAUCUGCGCGAAAACAAUUCCAAAAAUAGCUGGACUCGUUUUCUAAAGCAAGAAAAAUAUCUAGAAAAUUCUGAAAAAUCUGAGAUAAAUCUCAGUGAUGAAUUGGGAUGCAAGGAAUCCAAAUAAAAUACUUGGAGCUCGUGAAAAGGAUUCUAGAGCCUUCUAAAAAUUAGAUUUAGCUCUAGGAAAAGGAGAAUAAUUUCCGGAAAAAGAUGGAAAAUUCUCACAAGGGUCUGGGCAACGUCUAAACGUAUUUUCAAACUUUUGCACUCAAGAAACGCCAAGAUGCAGCGACAUGAAUGUACAGACAUAGAAUAACAUUUUUAAUUUAUGAAAGCAAACAAUUAUUUUUCCUAUACUAAAUUUCCUGUAAAAGAAAAUUAAAUAUUGGGAAAAUUUUAAAAUUAUGAGAAAAUCAUUGUUUAUUUAUCCCUUUUAUUCACAACCUGAAAUUCGGAAAUUUCAGGGUGUGACAACACUACCCCCCUUAACAAGAAUCUCGUCCCGAGAUUCGCAAAGGCUAGCAAGAGACAAAGGUUUAGGUGGGUAGCAUCCAACACUUAUUAGCUUCUUCCUAGAUCGUUCAUCCUUACGUAAGCCCCUCAAUCAUGCUUCUUUAUGCUUCACUACAUCACAUAAAACACUUCAGGGAUACUUAGUCUAAUUCCUCUUUUAAGUAUCCUUUCCUUCCCUCUGCUUCUUUGGCCCAUCUUUGAAGAAUUUUCUUCAUUUCUUGGUAAAGUGAUUUGAAUAGAGCUGAAUUGCUUCCCUCCGGCUCGACUGUCACCCUUCAAGUCUUCAUACGCAUCCUUGAGUCUUCUUAUCCAUCUGGUCCAAACGCUUGUUGGGGCAUUGACUAAUGAAAUGUCCCUCUUCUUUACGGUAGAAACAUGUUUUUCUUGCUUUGGUACUUUGGCAACUGAAUGUGGUAUGGGAAUUGGGCAUUGGAAAUUGAUGGCAUUCUUUCCUGAUUGAGGCGUCUUGAUCAUUCGUCCUGACAAAGAGGCCAACUGAUGUUGUCGGGUUGAAGGCAGAGCUUUUGGGUACUUGGUCCUGGGGUUGAUCAUCUUUCUCUUUUGCACACCAACUAAUCAAGAUGUCCAUUUUCUCCACACUGGAGCCAAUACAAUUUGGCUCUAGCGGACUUGGUCGACUUAUGCUUUAUUGGACAGUUAUUGGCAUAAGGCCCUUCUUCACCGCAUCUGAAGCACAAUACUUUUACACAUCCAUCUUGGUUUCCUUUCUACUCCCUAGUAACUCUCGGUGGAAUAACUGGUGCAUCAGGAUUCUUAUUGAUGGGGUUACCAUGUGGAUGGUGAACAACUUUAGGCUGUGGUUGGUGGAAACUAGGCUGAGUAUUGUUAUCUGCCAAUGGUUGUGGUAACUUCAUCUUCUCUUGACUUGCUUUACUAGUUGGCUUCUUGGCUCGCCUACUCCUCUAGGGCUGAAAUUCUUUGAAAGAGAUACUCCAACACUCAAGGUUCAUAGUCUGAGUACUAUCUUCAUCUUGGGUAACUUCCUCUAGGGAUGGCCCUUGGGCAUCCAACUUCCUCCUCUUAUUGAUAUCUAAAUGAUGAUGUUGUCUAGCUUUAGCUGUCAUUAGGCUAUCUUCUUUCUGGAGACAUGGAAGACGAUGGUGUUCCUGGAAUCUUAACAUCUUUGUAUUGUCUCUCCAUUUCCAGCUCCGACGUUCUAUGGCUUCUCUUGUUCCUUUGACAGUCCCAGGCUUCAGCAACUUGCCUCUUCACUAGUCCAGUGGGAAUUCUAGCCUUGGUUAUCUCCAUGUUAUGAGGGGAUGAUGUGUCAGUCUGUUUUCCUUCCUUGUAAGACUUGAGCCUGCAUAGCUGAUAGCUUCUCGUUGUCGAACGGUGGUGGAGCAAACAAAACGUGAUGGUCAUCACUGGUGAUAGGGUUGUGGUUCUGAGGAAGUGAGGCUUGCUCUGUGAUAUACUGAUGGAUAUGGACCAUGGUUUGAGACAUUGCUUGUAAAACCUGAGUUUGUAUUGCCAUAUACUCUAACAUCUUGCGUUCGAAUGAUGCGGCUACAGGUGGAAUGUUAAGAUCUCCUUCAUUGGCUCUAUCUUCAUGAUUUUCAUUGGGACUCGCCAUUUGGUUUUGUGAUAAAGAUAGGAUCGGUAGAAAAUAGGAAAUGGAUAAAAUUGCAGAACAAGGUAGAGCACUUCAUGAUAUCUUCGUCUUUUCUUGGUCGUCAUCCAAGUAAGGUAGGAGGAAGGAUAGAAAGCAGCAAGGUGGCAAGUAAACUAGGGUAGGGCCUUCUUUCCUUUGACUUGCUUCUAUUCCGACGGUGAUAGUGGCGAUAGCCUCUGCUUGUUGAUAUUGGUGUUGCCUUCACUCUCUUCUUGAUGUCCAUCAGAACUGGGAGAUAGAAAGAAAAAUAACAAGGAUGUGGGAGGUACAAGCAGAUUCAAAGAGAGAAAAGAAAAUAAAAAGGUGGGAGACAACAAGUUUCUUAUGGCAGAGUGGAUAGUCUUUCAUCUUUUCUUGUCGCGAGUAGAAUCUCCCUGCUUUCUUCAUCUUCUUUGGUUCUUGUAAUCAUCAUUAGAGUAAGAUGGAGAUCAGAGUAAAGCCUUCUAUUCUUCAACUUGCUUAUAGCGAGACGGUGGUGGUGAUGUUAACUCCUGCUUGUUGACGUUGGUGUUGACUUUAGUUCCCUCUUUUCUGAUAUCCUUCAUUGUCUCGGGUAGAAAGCAAUGGAUGACAAGGAUAUGGGAGAUUCAAAAGAAAAACCCAGCUAGGCAACUGAUGUCAUUGUAGAUAGAAGACCCACAAUACACCAACAAUCAUUACAAAGAAACAAAUCAGACAAUUUCAUCAAAACAAGCAUCAUAAUGCAAGCACAAAAUUUCACCAGUCAACACACAAUUAGGGAACGACGCUAAACGUUGUUAGUAAGGCUGCGAGGGGUACUUCCUAAGCAUGUGUUGUUUGGUAAGGCUUCAACAUGCUUGGUGUCCUUCAGCUUGUGCAGCAUUGACUCCAGCUGUUUGGUGCACGUUUCAGUUGCUCAGACUUGACUUCUAGUGGUGAACUGGUAACUUCAUUCUCCAGAUGUCUUGAACAGGCUUUAAGACAGGUGGCAUGGAUCAUCUAGAUAUUUUUGAAUAAAAUGAGACAUUUUGGAAUCAAAAGUCAAGGAAAAGAUUCCAAGGUAGCAUUUAUUUCAAAAGCAACGAGAGGUACUAUGGGGAAGAUGGAUAUACUGAAAAUAAAGUUAAGGAGGAGAUAGGUUUACAAGGAUAAGUAAGUAAGGAAAACAUUAAGGAGGCAAAUGAACAGGUGAUGAGAGAGUAGCAAUAUCACUAAGAAAUCAAGGAGGUGUAUUGCAUCAAACAGGUAAGAUCAUUCAUCAAGAAGGAGAUGCAUGAUCAAGAUCAAGCAGUGAUCAAGGAGAGAGGAAAAAAACAGACAAGGAUUGAGGGUCUAACAUUUGCAAGACAAGUAGUGCAAAUGUAAAGAGCUCAAGUUAUCAAGGAGGAUUGAGAAAAGAAAAAUGAUCAAGGGGUGAGAAUAUUUUUCAGAAAGGUCAAGGAUAAGGCAGGAAUUGUUUAUAUAGUAAAAUAGACCUUAGGAAGUGACCAUUGCUAUCUAGGCUUACGUCCUACAGUCGAUACGGCUCUGAUACCACUUCUGUCACACCCAGUUUUAAAGGUAAAACCGAAUGCUACCUAUAUGUAUGCCAGGAUCAAGUUUCAUACAUAUAGUGACAUCAUAAGUGAAUAACAGCAACAGUAUCACGUAAAAAGAUACAAAGACUUACGAAACCAUCAGAGAUAUACACCUUAAUUAUGGAAACGGAGGCUCCAAACUUCACAGGCAAACGACUGGGGGUUGCGUACGCCUAGAACUCAGCACCAUCUUCACAACAACUUCAUAGCAGCUUCUUCUUCUGAGCAAUGUUGGUUAUAGCAAGGGUGAGCACUUGUCGUACUCAGCAAGUGUGAGGAGAAUAUGAAUGCAGGGGUUAAACAAGGAAAGGCUGACUGGUUGACUGCAUUAAGCAUUUUUAGUUGGUCAAAUUUUAUUAGCACCUGAUUACUAAGGUAUAAGUAUAUACCAACCCACAAUUAAUAUAAGCAUAAACAUAAGCCAUAAGCAUAUGGCACAACCAUAACCAUAGCAUAAACCACAAUUUAAAUCCAUCUUCAAGUAUAUUACUCAUGUGAGGGUCCAGGCCGCUCUUAACCGUGAGCACGGCUGAUCGAUCAGUUUUACACUCUGCAGAGGUCGCACAUCUUUACCCACAAGUCGCGUAAAAGCUCAAAAGAACUUUAGACCCAACCACGCUUGUGCUGAUCAGGCACAAUACCACACUUCCGAGGUGUGAUUGCAUAGGGACGCUACGAGGCCUUUACAAAGAUUCAUUAGUCAGUGGUAACCCGCUAAGGUUUCGGUGUCUGGCGUGCACCACCCAUCCCAGGUAAAAUGCAACGACUCAGUCCCCCCUCUUGCCUCAUCACGAGUAAGGUCACCCCAGACUAAGGUUUCUAAUUAAUCAGCCAAGACCAGAGCCAUUUAGUCUUGUGGUAGCACUGUUUUCCUGGGUGGUUCUCCAUGUUCCAAUUAACAUUGUAAUCUUGUAUUAACAAGAGGUGUAGCAUAAAUAAAAUAAGUUCAUCAUCUUUGUUCAUUAGAACCACCAUAACCCAAAUAUAGCAGCUAAGCAUAGCUACCCAACAGAAAGGUAAACCCAGGUUGGCAAGGAAUAAUCACGAAAACUAGGCAAACCUUAAUAGGACCCAUCAAAUUUAAUGCAAGCAUAUGCAAUAGUGAUUAAACAGAGUUAUUGGGAUAAAAGCACAAGGACACACUUGCCUUUCUCCAACGAAAAGUUACUCUUACUUCUCUUCGGCUCUUGCUCACUUGAAACUUGUACUCUUAAGAGCUUCCGAACGGCGAUCCUUCUACUCGGAGCAAACAUCGGCACAAACAUGCAAGCAAACAAACAAAUACAACUAAGAGCAGUACACCAAAAUAAAAGACAGACUUUAAAAGAGCGUACUAACGACAAGGCUCGAUCUAAGGUCACGCGAACGUAAGGAACACUUAAAACGGAACUAUGGUUGAAAAGAUAAAGCUAUCGAGAGUUUUGAAUUAUAAAAGAAAGAUAAGAGCUACAAGCUUUAUUUAUUUUAGUUGAGAAAAGCAAUGUAAAGAUAUUUCAGAGAAAUAUCCUUAGUUAGAAUUAAUCAAGUCAUAUUUAUAUUUUCAUAAGAAAAGACGGUGUAAAGCUUACUCCAAUUUUAUUUAUAAAUAUUUGAGUACAAUUUAUGCCAAUUAAACAUUUAAUUUAAAAAUAAGAUACAUGUAGACAUCUAAGCGUAUAGCUUUACAUCUCGAGUUCAACUAAGUAGAUUAAAUUAAAAACACAUUUACAUUUAUAUUAGCCAAAUUAAUAUUUAAUUAUGAAAACUCGAGAUAUAACCUAUACAGAUUUUAUUUAGAAAACAAAUUGAAUAAACAUUAAUCAAAUUGAAUUUAAUUUAUGAAACGCCGAGGUAUAACUCUAAGUGGCUUUUAAUUGGAAGAAUUAUUUAGAUAGGCAUUAAUCCAAUUAACUUUAGUUUAUGAAAAACCGAUAUAUAACCUAAUUGGCUUUUAUUUAGAAGAGGGUAUGAAGUAGGUAUUAAUCAAAUUAACAAUUAUUAUGAAAAACGAUGUUUAACGCUAAAUAGAUUUUAUUCAGAGAAGAACUCGUUUGUCAGGCAUUAAUCAAUUUUAAUAUAAAUUUUAUUUUCAAAAACAUGUGUGAAGGAAAACAUACCACUAACGUGUAAUUUACAUCAUUAUGAAUCUAACGCAACUUGAACGGACGAAAACGGAAUUAAAACGUGGGUUCUAUGGGUUAAACAAGGUUGUAGGGGCCUAAACGUAAUUAACCGUAGACUUGGAGGGUUAGCUGAGAAGAUUGGCAAGACACAAGAAAUAGUGCUCGCGAAAAGGUUAAAGGACAGGGUUAGAUUUGCAAAACCGCAGGGGCUGGACUGGAUCUAGGGAAACUAAUAGAUCCAGGGGGUUAUCUGCUAGUUUGCCAAGACACAAAGGAAAGAGGAAAAAAUUACAAAGUUCUCCAGGGGCUAAACUGAAAAACGGCGCUUCAUCUUCUUCCCCACGCCAGGAGCAGGCGGCGGACAGAAACAGAAGGCAAGGCAGUCUGUUACGGUUGCAAAAACAAGGAAAAGAGAGAAAAAGAGGGAAUCGCCGGAAACGAAGUCCGAUCUCGCGCAUGAACGGCAAAAUGGAACGAUAUCGACGAGGCGAACAAGAUGGUGUGCUCACCUUCGGCAAGAGAUGAACAAUGGUGGCGGAAAAGCUCGCCGGAGUUGGGGAAGACGACGGAGCCGACAUCGGAUUCAUGCAAUCCACCACACCACGGCGUAGAGCUCGAAGAGAGGAACUCCAUGGUGGUGUCGGUUUUCGCCGGAAGUUCACGGUUUCGCCGGAAAAGCUCGCCGGAGUUUGACAAAGACCGAACUUUGACUUCAGAUCUACGGAGUUAGGAGAUGCAACUCGUAAAAAGGUUUUCAGAUCUGAAAUCCUCGCGUCGAGACGAACGCGGUGAUAUAUAUAUACGCCACACUCGGAAAAGAUAUUUUCGAGUUGACUUUUUGAUUUUUCGGAUUUUCUGAAUUUAUUUAUCUGCGCGAAAACAAUUCCAAAAAUAGCUGGACUCGUUUUCUAAAGCAAGAAAAAUAUCUAGAAAAUUCUGAAAAAUCUGAGAUAAAUCUCAGUGAUGAAUUGGGAUGCAAGGAAUCCAAAUAAAAUACUUGGAGCUCGUGAAAAGGAUUCUAGAGCCUUCUAAAAAUUAGAUUUAGCUCUAGGAAAAGGAGAAUAAUUUCCGGAAAAAGAUGGAAAAUUCUCACAAGGGUCUGGGCAACGUCUAAACGUAUUUUCAAACUUUUGCACUCAAGAAACGCCAAGAUGCAGCGACAUGAAUGUACAGACAUAGAAUAACAUUUUUAAUUUAUGAAAGCAAACAAUUAUUUUUCCUAUACUAAAUUUCCUGUAAAAGAAAAUUAAAUAUUGGGAAAAUUUUAAAAUUAUGAGAAAAUCAUUGUUUAUUUAUCCCUUUUAUUCACAACCUGAAAUUCGGAAAUUUCAGGGUGUGACACUUUACCAAUGAUCGUUUGUGAGGAUGCAUGGUUUCCGCAAAUACCUUUGUGAAUUUCCUCUAGUAUGUCCUUGCCAUCUUGCCGUGAGACGCAUUUCAUGAGUACUCCUGAUGAUACACCUGUUGUGUAAAGCUUGUCUCCGACUAGAAUGUAGUUCUUGCUGCACCGUGAGACUUGCUCUGCUUCUGUCUUGUCUGGAGACAACUUGUGUUCUUUGAUGUAGUCGAUGAAAGGAGCUCUCCAGUCCACGUUGAUCAUCAUAACCUCCUGAUCUGGUGCGGCAGGACCUCGAUCAGUGGUUGUUGAUGGUGCCAGCUUCGUUACGGAUGGCUUGUGUAGCUCAUGGAUGAAAACCCCUGCUGGAACUUGAGCUCGAGUAGAUCCGAGCUUGGAUAAGACGUCCGCGAUAACAUUGUUGUCGCGAACUAUAUGGUGAAACUCCAAACCAGAGAACUUGUUCUCUAGCUUGCAUACUUCUAGGCAGUACGCAUCCAUGUUCUCCUUGUGCAAUCUCAGUCGUUGUUGGCUUGAUUGAUCACCACCAUUGAGUCACCAUAGACCAACAAUCGCUUGAUUCCUAGUGAGACUGCUAGGCGGAGCCCGUGCAAAAGCGCUUCGUAUUCAGUUUCAUUGUUGGAUACUUCCUAGAAGAUUUGCAAGACGUAUUUGAGUUGUUCACCUUUGGGAGAUAUUAAGAGUACUCCUGCACCGACGCUCUCGAGCUUGAGUGAUCCAUCAAAAUACAUGACCCAAUGCUCUGGACGCUCUACUGGUGUUGGUAGUUGGUUCUCCUGCCACUCUGCCACAAAAUUGACUAGGGUCUGGGACUUAAUUGCAGUCCUCGACUUGAAUUCUAGGGACAAUGCUUCGUGUUCUACCGCCCAUUUAGAUAUUCUUCCAUUGCAUCCCGAUUGUGGAGAAUUUCUCCCAGGGGGAAGACUGUGAUGACGGAGAUGUUGUGCUCUUAGAAGUAGUGUUGUAGCUUCCGCGAGAUGAGUAGUAUUACAUAUAGCAAUUUCUGGACUGGUGGGUAUCUAGCCUUGGAAUCUGACAACACCUCGCUGAUGAAGUAGACGGGCCUUUGUAUUUUGUAUACAUAGCCUAGUUCUGGUCUCUCAACCAUGAUCACCGUACUGACGACGUUAGUAGUCAUGGCGAUGUAAAGCAGCAAGUUUUCAUUAAGGUUUGGCUCCAUGAGGACUGGUGGCUUUGAUAGGAAGUCCUUUAACUGUUGUAGGGCUUGAUCUGCCUCCUCGGUCCACUAGAAUUUGUCUUGCCACUUGAGUAGUUUGAAGAAGGGUAAGCCUCAUUCUUCAAGCCUUGAGAUGAAUCUGUUGAGAGCCGCCGUGCAUCUAGUUAGCUUAUGAACGUCUUUGAUGCAUAAUGGGGCAUGCAUGUCAGUGAUGGCGAAGAUCUUCUCGGGGUUAGCUUCAAUUCCUCGGUGAUUGUUGGUGAACCUGAGUAGUUGGAGGGCAUGCCAAAGAUGCACUUUGUCGGGUUGAGCUUCCCCCGAAAUUCUUGCAAGCUCGCAAAAGUUUCUUCUAAAUUCGCAAUCAGGUCGUUGGGAUUUCUGGUCUUUAUGACCACGUCAUCCACGUAUGCCUAUUCGUUGUGGUGUAGCUGCUUCUUGAAGCACUCCUGGAUUGCCUUAAGUAGCGCCUGUGUUCUUCAACCCAAAGGACAUUUGUGUAGCAGAAAGCUCUCUAUGAGGUGAUGAAUGCAGUUUUGAUUUGGUCUUCUUCCUUGAGAGCUAUCCAGUGAUACCCCAAGUAGCAAUCAAGGGAGCAGGGUAAAGUGCAUCUAGCUGUGGAGUCGAUGACUUGAUCAAUCCUAGGGAGCCCGAAGGGAUCCUUUGGACAGUGCUUGUUGAGGUCUGUGUAGUCGACACACAUCCUCUACUCAUUGUUGUUUUUGUUUUGUAGCAGGAUGGGAUUGGUAAUCCACUCUGGAUGAUAGACUUCUUUGAUGAAGCCCACCGCGAGUAGUUUGGCUAGCUCUUUUUUGAUGGCUUCCCUUCUGUCCUGGGUGAAUCAUCGUAAGCAUUGCCUUUUUGGUGUAGCUCUUGGAUCCACGUUUAGUGAGUGCUCGAUCAACUGCUUGGGCACCCCUGACAUAUCCACUGGUUUCCACGCGAAGAUGUCUCAGUUGGCCCGGAGGUAGCUGACAAGCGCGCUUUCCUAUUUAGGAUCCAGCCCUGCACUAAUCAAGGCUAUCUUAGAGCUAUCACCAGUCUCAAGGUCAAUGGCUUUGACGUCUGCUUCACUUGCCGGCAUGACCUUCGUUGCCCCUGACUUCUUUUCUAGGAUCUCGAGUUCUGAUGGGGACAGCUUCUUGGAUGCGACGAAGACUUGUAUCAUCGAGUUUGGUACUUGAGUAGUUGCUGCUAGCUCCCCGGCUUCCGUGUCGUAGUCGUAUGACCUCUUCAAGUCUCGACGUAGGGAGAGUACUCACUUUGGUCCUGGCAUCUUGAGUACUAAGUACACGUAGUACGGGAUGGCCAUGAAUUUGGCCAAUGCUGGUCUUUCGAGGAUAGGAUGGUACAAUGUUUCGAAGUCUGCCACCUCGAACCGGAUGUAUUCUGUAGUGUUCUUUGAUCCCAAAGGUAACUAGCCAAACCACCUAACCGAGGGGUAUAACCGCGUUGCCUGAGACAAUCCCAUAGACUAGAGAGUUCAUUGGGGUGAGCAUAUCUGUGAUGUCGAGGCCCAUCCUCUUCAGUGUCUUGGCGAAUAGUACGUAGAGACCGCUACCGCCAUUGAUGAGUACUUUACUGAGUCUGGAUCCAGUGACAACAGGGUCCAGGUGUGACAUCCCUAGUGUUUAAAAGGAUAAAUCAAGAGAAAUUAAGAAGGAAAUUAGAAACAAAUCAAAGUUGCCAAGUGUCAAAUUCAAAAACCAUUCAAAUUCUAGCUGUGUGUAUAAACACCCUCAAAUGGCACUCACAUGGGUAGGAAAUAUAAAUAGAUUUUUAUAUGAGAACAUGAAUUUUGGCCAAUAUAAAAGUUGUAGGACUUUUCAAAAUGAGCAACUUUCAUAAUUAGUACUUUCUCUGAUUUUGAGUGGAAGGCAUUUAAAAACUAGGUCAACAUUUGGUCAAUUUCAAGUCAAAUUCAAAUCAACCUUGCCCGGUGUUCCACCAAAGUUUUGGCAAGUUUAUCUCCAAAUCUGUUGUGUUUUUCACCCAUCAACCUUUGUAGAAGUUGGAGCCCAUAGUUCAAGCUCAAAGUUUUAUAUUUGAAAAUUUUCAUGUUUAGUUCAAAUUUUGAAAGCAAAUCUAGCCCAAAGAUCUUGCCUACGCGUGCCACGUACGAACCCAUGUGCGCCCAGUGUGCAGUCACCACGCGUGGCGAGCGUGACGUUGCCGCGCGGCGCCACCCGCCUGGCACAGCACCGUCGGCCAACCACCAGCGACCACAAGAUGACUCGAGCCCAGCCUUCGCCAACCGCGCGAUCUCCCCCUCCCCAUGCCAAAUCCUCGCCGGCCAACCCCGAGGCGCGGAGCAUGAGCGCACGAGCUCUGCACGCCACCGUCGGCUAGUCCCAGCGUGCCUCCACAUGCUGCCUCUGCCAGGUCACCGCCAGUCCACCCAACUGUGCCAUGAGCCCACCCUGACGUCGCCAGCUCCCCCAUGCCGCAUUGUCGCUAUAAAAGGGCGCUCGCCCAGCUCGCCGGCGCUACACCCUUCCACUUUCCCCCCCUCCGUCAAGCGCCAUUGAGGCCCCUCCGCCGAGCUCCCCCAUCCAAGCCAUGCCGAAGUUGGUCGAGCCCUCCUUCAUGCCACCUCAGCCUUACCGCACAUUCCUGAGCCCUUCCCCGGCCUUCUCCAUCGCUGCUCUCGCUGGAGAUGAUGCCAGAGCGCCUCACUCGAAGCUUCACCGCGGAGUACCGACACCGGACCUCCUCUGCCCUCGACCCCCAUAGCCAAACGACCAUUGGUGAGCCGCUUGUCACUCCCCUACCACUAGCCCGCACCCACCCCGCCGGACCUCGCCGGAUUUCCACCGACGCGCCGCCGGCCGACCCUCAAGGGCUGCAUUGCAAACCCCAUUUUUGUUCUAGGGUCCUUAGUGCAAGUAUGUAGGGGCUGGUUGUGAAGCUUUAAAUGAUCCAAGGGCCUCAGCGCGAAACGUGUUUUCCUUUUUUGGUUUUAAAUUGAAUUAAAUGGCUAAAACUUGAAAAAUAUCUAGGAAAAGGUAGAAAAAUGAGAAAAAUAUGAAACUUGUUUUUCUAGGUUCUUAAUCACGUAUAGAUUAGUUUAAAGAUAUUCAUGUGCAUGUUACUAUCCUGUAUCUAGCACUAGAAUUUAUUUUGUAUAAAAGCCAUUAAAUGCCUUAUAAAUCAUAUAGUGCUCUAAAAAUGCUGGAACCACUUUUGUUAGCUUCCUUUUGACAUGUAUGUUCUGGAUAUUUAAUUUUUGAUACUGGAACACAUGAUGUUCAUACUAUUUUAAAUACAAAUACUUAAUUGCUGUCGUAAUCUUGUUAAUUGCAUGGUAAAUAGAGGAAAAUAGAUAAAAAUGCAAAGUAAAUUUGUUAGAUUCUUGAUGUCCAUGUAUGAUUAGUAAAAAUACUUGCUCCUGUAAAAUAUGUGUUUUCCAUUGCUUAAUAAUACAUGUUUUUUAAUCUUCUUAUUAUGAAAUAAAUAGUUUUCAUGCUCAUAAACCCUUAAAAAUUCACAGUAGCAUAUAUUAGUGUCGUUAACCCUUCUAUAAAAUUUGUGGAACUAAACUACUGAUGAAACUCUAGUUGAAAAAAUCAUUCUUCAUGUUCUCCUAUUUAACACUGUUUGAUUUUUAAUAAAUUCUGUAGAUGUCAAAUUCAUCUCAAAAUUUUUAUAGUAAAUAUCUUGUGUAGAGGGAAAGUUCCUGUAAAAAUUUCAUGUUCAUAUAUUAACAAGUGCUCCCUGCUAGCUUGUUUAUUUAUAACAAUUAUUAUUAGGACUCAUAGGCUCAUAAGAGAUUAAUCGUGCUUUUCUUCAGUAGCAUUAUCACUCUUAAAAAUGGUUUCUAAGCAGUACAACAUGACACCAACUUUAUCUUAUGAAUACUAAGUUCUAAGAAUAUUAUAUGUGUACACAAUCACCGUCAAAGUAAAACCCAGGUUUUCUUCACAACGCACCUUGUUUUAUGAAGAAAAGAUUUGUUACAAACUUGUCUAGGUGAAUGUGACCAAAAGAAAGAAAGGUUUAAAAUCUUGUCUAGGUAAAUUUGGUCGAAGAUGCACCUUAUGUUUCUACAAUGAUUAACGAAAUGCAACCUACAUUAUGAAUGGUUAUAAAUGAAAUCUUAUGCAUAUGCAUCUCAUGUAGAAGCUAACCUCGCUGACGGCACGUACGAGUUGGUUCCGGAAGCUAAAGAGGAACACUCAGCUACUGCAGUGAACCUGAUCAAGACCGCUCAAGACCUGAGCCAAGCUUCGGAAGAGCCACAGGCUAGCGUAGGACAAGAAGGCAAGUCCCGGAGCAUAACCUUGGUUUCUAAAAUUAUGCAAUACCUAUGUUACUUAUGUUUGUGCAUUAAGUUCAUAGGAGUUGCUUGAAACCUUAGUUGCAUGCUCCUAGUACCCAUGAUUUGAAUACUAGCAUGUUAAGUCGAGUAGUUGCUAUGCUAAAUAGGGACACGGUAAAAGUUAAGUGAUUUCCUGUCGCUCGCGAGCUAUAGGAGUUGCCUAUUUACUUAUGUUGGAAUCAUAAGGAUGACAGGCGUGGCUUGGUAAUAUGUUCUGGAAUGGUGGAUGUCCCGCUUGUAUAGAGGAAAACCUGCUAAGGUCGAAACGUGUCGGUGAUUCUGGUCAAGUGUUUGAAAGUACUAAACACAUACCGAGUAUGGGAUCAGGAAGCCUAGUACCUGAUUGAACCAGGGCAUGAAAUUUAUCCCUGUUCUCUCUGGAAUCGGGUUCCCCUGAUGCAUCAUGUGGGUACAAGUGCAGCCUCGGUACAUUGUCGUUCCGGGACCGUUGGGGCAUUGUAUCUAAGGGAAGUAGGCCCUGGCCACAUGCCUAGGGAUCGAUGGAAACGACUGACAUAUGUGAACCGUGGGGGUACGCAUAUGUCGUGUGUUUAGGUCCACCUUGGAAGGUUAAGAAAUUCAAUUCGAAUCAUCUGCUUCUCAAAGUUUGGGACUACUUGAUCACUAUGCUACAUUGAGUAAGAAGAUGAACAAGGAUGAUGAUUAAUAGUGAUGCUUGCAUUAAAUUGCUUGUUCUACCAUGCUUGCUCAGAAUAGGUGCUUACCUAGAGUGGCUAAUCAACUAGAACUUCAUGCUAAAACUUGAAAGUAAUGAUCCACUUUAGAAGCUUUUGGCAAAAUAAACCCCUCAGCUAAAAAGCCUUGCAUGUCUAGGAGUCGGUGGAUUAGAUAUCACCUAACGGGUAAGUCUUACGGAGUAUUAGUAUACUCAGCCUUACCUGUGGCUAUAUUUUCAGGUAAUGUAGGAUAUGGUUGCUAGUGUGACUUGGCCGUGCCAGAUCCCUCUGGGAUGGACAGCUGAGUGGGACCCAUCCUCGGUGGACGAGGACUGUGGUGAGUGAUAUCAUGGAUGGCUUCACCAUAGUAUCGUGUAUUGAUGUUAGAACUAUCGUUUAUUUCCGCUGCUUUGAACUCUGAACUACUCAUGCUUUUGAACACUUGGUUUGUAAUAAAUUAAUUUGGAAUCUCUGUAAUAUUCAUCUGGAUUGUUAUAAUCUUUGGGCUUGUCUUCAUACGAGUGUUGUAUGCUUGUUUCGAUCGGAAAUACGAGGUUGUAUCAGGUGAAACCCGACAAACUACCAUUUUGGUUCAAUUAAAGUGUAUAUUCGCAUUUGAGGUGAUGUUUAGCACACUUUAGUCGAGUUAAUUUGGGUGGUUCUGCCACACCAGGAUGAAGGGAUACCGUCCUGGGUCUAAGAAACUAGUCCAUUGGUCCUUCCUGGAGAAGGUAAUUGGCACCUCUGACCAUUUGAGGAACGUUAGUGUUGUUGCUUCGAUGGACAUAAUCUCUCGAAGGGCGAGCUUCUGGGGCUGCUUAGUAGCAGUAUCUGGUGUGCCGCCAAAGAUGACAUUACGAUUGUCACCAUCGUCUUCGACUUCCUUGGCCUUGCCCUUGUCUUUAGUGCCAGAUGGUUCUGACAGCUCUUUCAUUACUCUGUGUAGACUAAAACAAUCUAUUAUAGAGUGCUUGUGGUAUGGGUGCCAUGGGCACUGUUUCUUCAGAAGCUCGUUGAACAAGGACUUGUCUUGAUUCCUGCCGCCACCUUUCUUGGAUGACUGUGAUAUUGCCAUGACAGUAUUGUUUGGCUUUUGCUUGCGGUUGUGACCUCUGGAGUAGUUAUUUCGGUUGUCAUUAUUAGAGCGAUCAUUGCGGUUCUUGUCAUUGCGCUGGCCGUUGUUCUGAUUAUUGUUGUUCUGGCCCUUGUUGCGAUUGGACUCGAACCUUUCAAUCUCCCUAUCUUCUUCAUCUACCCACACCUGUACCAUGAUCCUGAGAGAUUUGACUUCAGCGGGGCAUCUUCUGCCGAAGUCCUGGAUCAUCCGGUGGUCGUGGAGGCCAUUCUGGAAGUAUUCUAUAACAUUGCGCUCCAUGAUGUCCAUGAUUGUAGCCUUCGUGUCGAAGAAGCGACGUAGAUAACUCUGCUGGGUCUCGCUUUCUUGUUGUUCAACUUGAGACAAGUUGAUCCUAUUGCCAGGAUGCUGCAUUGCCCCUGCGUAGUUGUUGGUGAACGCCACCUUGAGGUCCUUCCACAUGUCGAUGGAGUUCUUAUCUAAUGAUUCGAGCCAUGGGAGUGGCGCCACCUCCAUGCAGAUGGGAAAGUAGAUGAAUUUGGUGUCGUUGUUUCCUCCAGCUGCUUUUACUAACAGCGAGUAGCAUUGGAGCCAUUGGAAUAGGUCCUGCUUGCCAUUGUACUUGGUGAUACCCAGGGGUUUGAAUUUUUCAGGUAGAUUUUUCCUCGUCACACAUCUGGACAAGACAGGGAAACCAUCAGAAUCAUCCCUUGGGUGUUUGACUUCUUGGUCGCGCUCGCAGCACCGUCUGUCAAUGAUGGUACUGGCAUCGCGGCCGGCAUUGAUCUUGUUGUGAAGAUUCUCUAUUAGGUGUUCAGGCUCUGGAUUAGCCCCACGGUGGCCACGAUCUUCCGAGGGUCCCGCCCGACUACCCUCUUCUCCAUCUUGGUUUGGUCUGGCACCUCUGAGUUGGCUUGGUCUGGACGAAGGGCCUCUAUGGCUACUGCCAUGUUAACUACACUGGGAUAGGGAGCGUUGGACUAAAGUAUCAGGUUUUGCUGAUCAUGUUGUUCAUAUGCGCGUUCUGCCAGUUCAGCCAUCUGUCUGGUGUAGUUGUUUUGCGGCAUGGCACGGAUGAUCAGAUCAAUGGAUGCGAUGGUGGCGAGUGGAGUACAAUGCUGACGCAUUUGAAUUGCUUCAAAGGCGUUAUCCAGGUUAUUGAUUUGUAGGUCUGCUACAAGGCAGCGGCAGCGCUUUGCCCUCACGGCGUUUCUUGCUUGCCGUCAAGUUCUUUGAGCUUUGGUCUCUUCUCCAGCAAUGUUGGCUCGGAGCUCAUCCUGUGAAACAUCAUCUGGGUGAUGCUUGUGUCGCGGGUUUCUGUCUCAUUGCUCUUCUUCUUUGUCCUCUUGUCCAGCAAUGAGAGUGAAGAGUUCUCGUUCUGGAGAAUAGCUUCCUGAGCUUGAAGUGAUGACCUCCGUGGUGCCGCCUUCCUCGUAGAUGGGCGACAAAGGAGCUCCCUCCUGGUAUGGGAGGGUGUCGAGAUAGGCGAUGAGACAUGAAUCGUCGUCCUUAGCGAGAGCGGGUGGCUUCAUGUUGGACCAGUAGAUGAAUCUUCCUUGAGGAGUUGAUGUGAUCACCUAGCUCUGCUUCGGAGCUGAUGAAGGGAUCUCCUCGUCUGGGUUUAGGUAGUAGGCGAGAUCCUCGAUCGUAUCCAUAUCGGACUAUGAUCUGGAUAGGGUAGCCUGAUAAAUAGUAGCCGCGUUAUGGAGUCGGAUCGGGAAUCAACUUGGGUUGUAGUCCGACUUGCAUGAUGGCUUAUGCGCUGGCUCAUGAAAGUCAAUCCGACUGGUGUGUUCCAAAAUGAAAUGGAUCAAAUUGCAUCCCAGAUGCCAUCAUGGGAGGACGAAGCAAACAUUGGUGUAGGUUCUGGGGACGAAGAUAAUGACAGAUCGGAGAUAGGAGCAGGGAUGUGGGUAGAGGGCGUGUGGCAAGAUCCUCUAGAUCUACACCCUUUGCCUCCGAGAGAAGGCCGUUCAACGGUGGAUUUUGAUCCGGAUUACAAUCCGAAUCCAAGUGAGGUAAUGCCAAAUAUAAUUGCCACCCAAUAUUUAGUGCACAUUUUCAUGUACUAAGUGCAAUGACUUUGAUUUCCUGAACCUUGUGAUUUGUGUAGAUGGCUCCCGCCGGAAGGAGUAAACGUUGCGGCCAACCCCCUACCCCCCAGAAGAAUUCAAAGACAGUGGCAGCUCGGCUCCCGAAGCUGAAACUAAAACCUCUUGGAGUCAGAGUAAAAAAAAAGAUGGGGUGAGCGAGGUAGAAACCAAUACCAUGAAGGCAAAUGGAGAGUUGAUGUUGUCAGCCCAGUAGGAGAGCUAAUAGAGCCUCUGAUGGUGCGUUCAUAGUUUUAGAACGCAAUAGGAGCAAUAAUUAGAACAAAGGAGAUUUUGGCUCCCUCGAUCUCUGAUUGGCUAUUGGUUCCUGAGGGAAGGAAAGAAACAAUGUAGAAGCUUUUGACAAACAUUUAUUUUGCCUAGAUCAGAAGAACUCAGGAAGCAGGUAAAGCAUUAUGCCAGGAAGCAGCUCAGUGAAGUUUUCUGCCAGUGGAGGGGUGAGCUGAAUGACAAGUAUGUCAAAAAGGGCCUAACCCCCUUUAAUGAAUACGGGAGCAUCACACCAGCCCAAUGGGAAGAGUUCUAAGGCAAAAGACCUCUCCGAAAGCUUUAGUCCUAAGCCAGAGAAAUAGAGAACUUGCGCUAAGCAACAUAUAUAAAGUUCACCUUGGGUUGGGUGGGAACCGAGGGAAGAUCGACAAGUGGGAGUAGGAUAGGGAGGUAGCAAUAGCCGCAGGGCAACCUGACCCUUUUGAAGGCUUGGAUGAGUGUGGCUGGUAGUGGCUUGCAGCAAGAAAGCCUAUAAUAGUAGAUGGUAAACCUACAUUUUCAACACCUGAAACCAAUCAUGUGGUAGAAAAGAUAUACGAUAUUUCCAAGCGUUAGAGGAAAUAAGAGUUCAUACCAAAUAGGGAUAAAGAUGUGCUCAGUUUGGCCCUUGGAAUGAAAGAGCAUAGAGGCCGUGUUAGAGGGGUUUCCUCGAAGUUGAGCAUCAAGGAUGGGUUCAAGAGGGUAGGGCUAGCUACAAGAGCCACACCCGUUACAAGGAGGAUCUAAUAGAGGUGGCAGAGAAAGCACUAGAAACUAGGUUUAAGGAGUUUUUGCUGGCAACACUUGAGGAGCAGCAACAAAGUGGUGAGGCCAAUGUACAGGUGCCGAUGUACAUCCGCUAUUAGGUGAAGCGAAUAGACUAGUUUAUGCUCCGAGCAGUGUCGGCUCUACGAUAGCACAAUCAUAUCUGAUAGAUUCUAUAUGCAUUAGUGCUCCUUGCUUGUUGCACGUUCUGGUUGGCAGAUCUUGCGAGACAAAGGAGGUUGCCAAGGGCCUUGUGAUUCCAGUUGGCGGUUUGUUUGAGGGAAAACCUAUCCUGCGCUAUUAUUGUUGACACCAUUUUUUGACAUAUGUCAAAGAUGGCAUCAAAAGGAAGCAGAGAUGCCAGUGCAUCGUGGAAGGACAACAGUUAGUGGAAUUGGCAGGUGAGGUUGCAGAGGGUUUAGCCGAUGGAGCAUGAUAGGGCCUAGCCGAUGGGAUCACAGGGGCGUAGCCGAUGGAAGAUGAUGGAGGUGUAGCCAAUGGAGUCAGCCGAUGCGAGCAGGAGGGUUCUAGCCAAUUGAAAAUGUUGGAGGUUCGGUCGAUGAGGAGCAGGUUUUAGCCGGUAGAGGCCAAGUUCAUUUCUGACUCCUGCGCGAGUCAUUUUUAUUUAGAAAGUUUGUUUCUUUAGACAUAGAUCUUAUAAUUUGUCGUAACCGACUAAGAUUAGAAAUCUUGAUGUAUAGGGUAUAAAUAGGGGCCUUGUAAGGUCUCGAAACACACAUCAUAAUCAAUACAAAUCUACUAUUUUUGCAAUUUACUUUCAAGUCGGCGACUUCGCCAUCGUGGUCUCUUCUUCACGAGUUCUUCCAAGCUAGCUGGGCUGCAUCGCUUCGAUCUCCGGCUAGACUGUAAGUUCCACGUUACCGAAUACUUCCUAGGCUUUAACUUCGGACGCAUCGCUGUCAUUUCAUCUAGAUUUAUUCACAAGUUAUUGGUAUAACUAGAGCUACAAGUUUUAUCUGUUAAAUCUUGUUGUUUUAGUUUUUAUCACGGUUAUCCAGCUUAGAACAUGUUCUGAUCGGCUUUUGCUUUAUCUUCUCAUACUAAUUUACCGUCACACAACCGGUUAGAUCUGUUUUAAGUGUUGUUCACGUAGUACUGUUUAGGUUGUACUUUAUGCUUCCUUUACAUCUACUACAUCCACAUCGGCUGAUCUAGCUGAUUGUCCUUGCUCGUGUCGGCAGCCUUGCCGAUACAUCCUGUGGAGCGAUUCGGAACGCCAGCCGAUUUACUCUUAUAUUUGACGUUUUACCUAUCCUUGUCAAUCAACAGGUCAGAUUGACCAGCACGCCAUGGAUCAAUAGGUCUACAACCCGAACAGGAGCAAAGCAGAUUCUCCAGGGUUCCGUGUGUUAGUGCACGGGAGUCAUCUCUCGAUUUUUGCAUCAACACACUUUUGGGCACGCCCGGUGGGACAAUACAAAGCCUCAACAUGUCUACACCGAAGACUGCCGAAGUUUUGGAAGACAACAUCAUCGACCGGAUGACAACAUCAUCGAGAUCACAGAGAGUGAGCACCAGGAAGAUCAGAGGAGCGAGGUGGCAAGGGCGGUAGAAGAGUUCAGAUUGCUAUGCUUGAAAUCUUUCAGCCGUACUAGGAAAGGGGAACCUGUCAAGAAGCACGCCCUUCCAACUCCUCAUCAAAUCACCAUUGCUGAAGACACAGGAAAGAUGCAGGAGAUGAUUGAUUAGGCUCUCAAUCACGCGCUGAUCAACCAAGUAGCAGUAAUGUCCAACACCGUGCACAACGCUGUCCUCAGCACUCUCUUCGGAGGAAGCUCUUAGGGGUUUCACGGUCCAGCGUACGAGCCACCCAGGAGCGUUCCGGUCAGAAGCGGGACGAAUCCAUCUAUGGCAGUACAGUCGCCUUCUUAGCUGAUCCAGAUAUCAACUGGGGGUUGUGGUGCUACACUACUCCAGAACACCAACGCUGCGGCACCCUUGAUCAAUCAGACGGCAAACCAGCCUGCUCCAGCGUACACCGUGCCAUCGCCGUUCCCAGCAUCGGUGCCAUGGGGGGCAACGGUGAUGCCAUUUGGACCCGUUUGGAAUCCGGCCACUAGAUAUGGGAUGCCCCCAGGGUCAUUUAUUCCGAUCGCGAGAUCUCCAGUACAACCUCCGUCGCCAUUGGCUCCGCAGCUAGCGGUCCAGCGUUAUCAGCAGAACCCACCUGAAGUCAGUAGGGAGGAUGGCAUUCCGGAUCCUCACAGGGAUGGGUCACCAAUAGUGGUGUACGAUGAGGCAAUCGGCGUGCCGCGGCACGUUGAUUCUUCCCACAAGUUGACCCAGCCGCAGCACCUGCAACAUACGUCGGCUAUCCAACAGCCGAUUGUGGUGCCGUAAAUUCAGCAGCAGCCGCAACAGGUUGAUUAGGCCGCAAAGAUAGCUGAGGUGAUGCAAGAUCAGUUCGGGCUAAAACCUAAAGUACAGACCUACACGUGCAGAACAUCGUACCCACCGGCCUACGACAUGUUGCCAUUCCCUCACCGAUACAAGGUGCCCAAUUUCACCAAGUUCUCGGGACAAGACGACACAUCUAUGAUGGAGCACGUCAAUAGGUUCAUCAUUCAGUGCGAGAGGCAGCUGCGCAAGAUGCUCUGAGGGUUUGGCUGUUCUCGUCAUCCCUGUCCGGGUUAGCCUUCCAGUGGUUCACAACACUUCCACCUAACUCCAUUAUCACCUGGACCAAUCUGGAGAAACAGUUCCACAAAUACUUCUUUGCUGGGGUUCACAAGAUGAAGCUGAUGGAUCUAACUAAUCUCAAGCAGAGGAGUGAUGAAUCGGUGGCCAGCUUCAUCCAACAGUUUAGAGAAGUCAGGAACAAGUGCUACAGUUUGAUCUUGAGCGACAACCAACUAGCCGACGCAGCUUUUCAAGGGCUCCUUCUGCACAUCAAAGAAAAAUAUACUUCAUAGGAGUUCGACAGUUUGAGUCAGAUUGUACACCGACUGUUGAACCAAGACAUGCGCCCGUUUGAUUAGAGAAAGAAUUUCCAGAAGAAGGUGGCAUACGUAGAGUGUUCGGACUCAGAAGAAGAAGCAGAGGUUGGCUUGGCAGAGUGGGUUAAGACUAAAAAGCCGAUCUCAUGCUCAUGCGGCAAGAAGGAGCCUGAAAGAUUCGGGUUCGUAUCUCCAAGGCCGAUAAGAUCUUCGACUUGUUGUUGCAAAAAGGUCAAAUCAAGUUCUCACCGUACCACACGAUCCCGUCGGCCAAAGAACUUAAGAAGAUCAAGUACUGCAAGUGGCACAAUGCCACGUCUCAUGACACUAAUGAGUGCAAAGUCUUUUGCCAGCAGAUCCAAUCGGCUAUUGAGCAAGGGAGGCUCAAGUUUUAAGCUCCUUCAAAAUCGGCAAAGCCAAUGAAGAUCGACCAACAUCCGUUCCCAACCAAUAUGGUAGUGGUUGGGGGUAAAAGUGCGCCUCCCACAAAGGUGCUGACAUCAGAAUCGGCCAGGAGGAGUGAAGCUGUGGACCCUAGAGUACAGGUGUCAGCCAACGACAUCAAGGGAAAGGGUCAGUUGCAACAAUGGGAAAUGUCAGCAAGGCCUUGACGACCGAUCACCUCCCAAGAGUUUCUCAACAAGUUCCAGAGACAGCAAGAACAGGUAAGGCACCGGGAAGAGAUGACACGUCACCAUGAAGACCACUGGAGAUGCACGUUCUUCAUAUACUGCUGGGAGGAGGGAAUCAAGCUACCAUCGGUUGACAACUACCCCGAAUGCAACGGAUCAUACCAAGGCAACCGAUCAUCCAAAAGACCAUGCUUUGAUGACAGGAAUCAAAAGCCAAUCAACAGGGAUAGACCUUACCAUGAUGAUAGGCGCAUCCCAAGGCAUGAUCGGUUGGGGGGCAGGAUCAGUAUACACGAUCGGUUGGGGGGCAGGCUAAAUGUACCCAACAGACUAGAGGAAAGAGCCAAUGCAAGGUUCCUCGACAAAGGGCCGUUGUGUUGUGAGCCGGAGCGGUAGCGUGUGUCAUGAGACAAAGCUAUAGCACACCCUAGAUGGUGCCCAGCGGGUUGGACUAAGUCCCAGAGGAGAAGGGUUCAAUGCUUGCGACAAUGGGAGCAGCAGGAAGAGGAACAAAGGCGUUCUUCGGAAAGGAAAGGGGGCAAAUCCCAGGUGUGGUGCAUCAAAGACACAGUCGAUGAUGAAGAUAACAAUCCUAGGUCAGCUGCCGAUGUCAACAUGGUUUUCGUCUUGCCGAUGGAAUUCAUGGCUUUAACCGACCAUGAGGCAACAAAAGCAGAAUAGGGGAUGGCGCAGUUAACCUUGGAGCCGAUGCCAGCCACCUUUGAAAAACCUGAGGAUGAAAAACGUCGGCACCUGAAAGCCCUCUUCCUCAAGGGGCAAGUCGACGGAGGCUGAUUACCAAGCUUCUGGUGGAUGGCGGUGCAGUCAUGAACAUCAUGUUGUACGCCAUGUUUCGCAAGCUCGGCAAGGGAGAAGAAGACUUGAUCAAAACAGACAUGAUGCUGAAGGACUUCGAAGGAAACGUCUCUUUGGCCCGAGGGGCACUCUGCGUCGACCUUACCAUCGACAGUAAGACCCUACGUACUACUUUCUUUGUCAUUAAUGGUAAAGGGUCCUAUAACAUGCUUCUGGGUCAAGAUUGGAUUCACGCCAACUACUACAUCCCAUCUACAAUGCAUCAAUGUCUCGUCCUAUGAAUCGGCGACUUAGUUGAAAUGGUCACCGUCGAUUCUUCUUUCAGUGUCGCUGCAGCCGACGCACAACAGUGGAAUUACGACAGCUACAUAUCUGGCAGAGUCUGGGAUACAGACUUCCUUAAGAUGUCCGAUUUCGGGCUACAACCAAUCCAAGUAGUUGGCUCUAAAGAAUUGUCCUGAUGGAUGAGUUCACCCAAGAAGAUGGGAAGCUGGGGCACGGGUUUACGUCGGCCGAUGAGUUAGAUAUGGUAGAUCUUGGAGAUGGGAGCAAGCCAAGGCCGACGUAUAUUAGUGCUAAGUAAGAUCCUGAGUAUAAGCAUGAACUAAUCAAGCUGUUAAAAGAAUUCAAAGAUUAUUUUUCUUGGGAGUAUCAUGAAAUGCCUGGUUUAGAUCGAUUUAUUGUCGAACAUUGGUUACCAAUAAAACUAGGAUAUCGGCCGUAUCAGCAACCUGCACGAUGUUGUAAUCUUAAGAUUUUACCUGAUAUUAAGGCUGAGAUUACAAGAUUAAUUGAAGUAGGGUUUAUUCGGCACUAUCGGUAUACUGAGUGGAUUUCUAAUGUGGUUCCCAUGUACAAGAAGAAUGGAAAACUGCGCGUUUGUGUAGAUUUCAGGAACCUCAAUCAAGCCACACCAAUGCAUGGUUAUCCGAUGCUGACAGCUGAUGUGUUGAUAAAUGCUACUUCAGGAUACAAAGUCAUUAGUUUCAUGGAUGGCAACGCUAAAUAUAACCAAGUAUUGAUGGCCGAAGAAGAUAUUUCCAAGACGGCCUUCAGGUGUCCUGGACACAUCGGUUUAUUCGAAUGGGUGGUCAUGACCUUCGGAUUAAAAAACGUUGGGGCUACAUAUCAGCGAGCCAUGAAUUACAUCUUCCAUAAACUUAUCGGCAUCCUAGUGGAAAUUUAUAUCAAUGAUGUAGUAGUCAAAUCGAAAGGGUACCGAGAGCAUCUAGCCGAUUUGCGUGAAGUCCUGGAAUGCACAAGGAAACAUGGGUUGAAAAUGAACCCGAAUAAAUGUGCUUUUGGUGCGUCGGCUGGAUAGUUCUUGGGAUUCAUGGUUCACGAGCGAGGCAUCGAAAUUAAUCAGAAGAUCAUUUGUGCUAUCAACAAAGUUGUGGCUGCGCAAAAUAAGACUGAGUUGCAGUCGUUAAUCAUUAAGAUCAAUUUUAUCUGAAGAUUCAUAUCAAAUCUGUCUGGAAGGAUUUAAUCUUUCAGCCCGUUGCUUAAACUAAAAGCCGAUCAAGAGUUUGUUUGGGGGGCAGAGCAGCAAAAGGUGUUGGAUGAUAUCAAACAAUACCUGGUGCCACCUCCUAUAUUGGUUCCUCCACAAGCUAACAAGCCAUUCAGGUUGUACCUCUCAAUAGAUGGGUGUGCUAUCGGUUUGGCUCUUGUCCAAGAAUUUGAAGGGAAGGAACAAGUAGAUUAUUAUGUGAGCAGAAGACUCUUGGACGCAAAAACCAGGUACUCCCCAGUCGAGAGGUUGUGUCUGUGCCUGUAUUUCUCCUGCACUAAGCUUAGACAUUAUUUAUUAUCCACCGAGUGUGUUGUGGUAUGCAAGGAUGAUGUUGUCAAAUACAUGUUGUCGUUGCCGAUUCUAAAUGGAAGGAUUAGGAAAUGGAUUCUAGCUCCGUCUGAGUUUGAUCUAAAGUAUGAAUCAACUAAAGCUGUCAAAGGGCAAGUCAUGGCCGAUUUUGUUACUCAGCAUUGUGGGCCAGAGGUUGCUAUUGUUGAGGUAGCCCCACAGACUUUAUUUUUUGAUGGAUCUUUAUGUGGGGCUGGAUCAGGAAUCGGCAUAAUCCUUAUAUCGCCUUGGGGGGCAAACUACGAGUUCUCGCUGCUGAUUGAGGCUUCUGCUACCAACAACUAGGCCGAGCAUCGAGCCGUUUUGAAGGGGAUCCAAUUGCUGAGAGAAAUCAAAGCUGAUGCUGUUGAGAUGUUUGGGGAUUCUAUGCUUAUUGUCAACUAGCUGACUGGAGGAUGUGAAUGCAGAGAUGAUAUUUUGAGAAUUUACUAUGAGCAGUGCCUUCAGUUACUUAAAGAAUUCAAGAGUGUGAUUAUUGAGCAUAUUCUCAGAGAUUACAAUAAGGAUGCUAACAAACUUGCUCAGCUUGCUUCUGGUUAUCGGACGAUUUGUGAUGCUAUGGCCUUGGAGUUAAUGGCUGAUGAUUGGAGGAAAGAAAAAACAGAUUACUUAAAAGAUCCCUCCAAGAAAAUCGAUAGGCGAGUUCGAUUUCAGGCUUUGAAAUAUGUGUUGCUUGAAGACGACCUUUAUUAUCGGACAGUUGAUGGGGUCCUACUUAAAUGCCUCGAGGCUAAAGAAGCCAAGAAUCUGAUGGGCGAAAUUCAUGGAGGGGUUUGCAGAGCUGAUCAAUCGGCUUUCAAGAUGAAGUGCAUGAUUAGAAGCAAUGGGUAUUAUUGGCCAACUAUACUUGAAGACUGCUUUAAAUACUAUAAGAGUUGUCAAGAUUGUCAGAAGUUUGGCAAUGUGCAAAGAGCCCCGGCGUCGGCUAUGAAUCCUAUAAUAAAGUCAUGGUCAUUCAGGGGCUGGGGUAUGGAUCGGCCAGAUUUAUCCACCUUCAAACAAGGGUCAUAAGUUCAUACUAGUAGCAACGGAUUAUUUCACUAAAUGGGUUGAAGCAAUUCCCCUGAAAAAUGUGACGUCGGCAAGCAUGGUUGAUUUUGUCAAAGAACACAUCAUCUAUCGAUUUGGUAUCCCUCAAACUAUCACAACCGAUCAAGGGACAAUGUUCACUUCGGGAGAGUUUGAGGAAUUUGCUACUGGUAUGGGAAUUAAGUUUUUUGACUUCUUCUCCGUAUUAUGCCCAGGAAAAUGGUCAAGCUGAAUCAUCCAACAAGCGGAUCAAUAAAUUAAUUAAGAGGAAGAUCAAAGAGCAGCCAAGGCGUUGGCACACUACGUUGAGCGAAUCCUUAUGGGCGUAUUGGAUGGCUUGUCACGGAGCCACAAAAGUAUCCCCUUAUCAGUUGGUUUAUGUACAUGAAGCAGUUCUACCUUGGGAGUUAAAAACUGGAUCUAGGCGUGUGUUGUUGCAAGACCAGUAACAGCCGAAGAAUACUCUACUCUGAUGAAAGGGGAGUUGGAAGACCUAGCGGGUCAUCGGCUAAGGGCUUUGAUCAGCAUCGAAGAAACUAAGUGGCUAGAUGGUAUGACAAAAAGGUCCAGGUCAAGGAGUUUUCCCAAGGAGAUUUAGUUGAUGACAUUCCAGAUUUACCAGAUUGUUCUCGAAAAUUUGAGUAUGGAAAACCAUUACUACCCGAUUGGACAAUCGCCAGGAUUCCACGUGAAAUGCAAAGGAUGCACAAUUGGUACACGAGGGCAUGUAGACUUGGGCUCAGAACCAUAUGGGCACGGUACUUACCGGAUGUGUUCGGACCUCCAUUAUAUGAGGAUUCCAGCUAAAUCUUCUUUGAUUUUGAGACAUCCAUGAUGUGUUGCGCCUCUCAAAGCUAGAGUUAUAGCUCGUGAGAUUAUGGUGCAUGUAAGUGCUUCAUCGAUGCUAAUAUCUUGUAUAUAUGCUAUGGCCUACACAUGUAUUAUACAUAACUAAUUAAUUGCGAUACAUUAUACAGGAUGCAAGAAAAUGACGUGGAUGUUAUAAAGGAGAAUGCUGGAUAUCUUGAUCCUUAUGCUAUUUGCGAAGUUAGGCACAACUUCCCGAGCCAUUGGGGAGACAACUAUGACAAGCUAGCUAAGUACAAGACAAAGAAGGACAAAAGGGUGAAAUGAGUACGACAACAUAAAAAAGCUAUGAGGAGGGUUUCAGCCUACAUAAUGUAUGUGAUGCUUAAGUGGCAAGAUAGGCAUUACAUAUGGGUGCCCUACAACUUCUAGUGAGUCUAAAUUUUUACCAUUUGUUAUAAUAUGUGCACUUGCUCCUUCUUGCCUAAAAAACCUUAUAUAAUAUUUUUGCAGGGGUCACUGGAUUGCUUUUAUGAUAUAGCCAAAGAAUGGAGUUGUGACUGUAUUUGACUCAUUGGAUUAUGACCAGUACACCUACAAAGAAUUCAUAUUCAUCCUACAAAAAUUAGUGAAUUUCUUAUUGUGUACACUUACAUUGUGCAAAUUGUUCCCCCCAAAGAUUACAUAUAAACUAACUUCUCAUUUUUUUCAAAAUAGGGCUUACCAGCACUACAUUACCAAUGGAGGGAUUCAUAACCCCGAGAGACCGAAAUAAAUGGUUGUAUGCACCAUUCCACAAGCAACCAUCUAGUUCUAUACACUCCGGGUAUUACGUGUGUGAGCACACUAGGAUGCUCGGGAGAUACACAACUGAUCCCGAAUGUGUAAGAGGCUACCUUUCAUAUAUACGGAUGUAUAUAUAUGUACAUUGCAUUCUUUUCCACCUAUCUAACACUUGCUUAAUUUUUCCGUGGAUUUUAAUUGUAGAUUAGGCAUCGCCUACAUAGUUCGCGUCUCCAUGAGCAACAACUUCUAAAUAUAGGUGCUGAUUUAUGUCAUUUCAUUUUGUGUGAAGUGGUAAACCCAAUGGGUACCUAUUAUCACCCAGAACAUGAACUAGCUCAAGAAGAUAAAUAUGCUAACCUCUGUGAGUGGGAGAAUCAAGAGUACUGCCAAGGCUAGCCUUCGUGAGUAGCAGAAAAGCAUGUUGUCAAUGUACACUCUAAUGAUGUAUAUAUAUGGUUCUAUUUCCUUAUUAUUAUUAUUUUGUAUGCUUAAAUUGAAUUUAUGUAACAUAUAUUCUAUGUUGAUCACUGUAGCUUCUUCAAUUCGGUCUCACCUAGACUGUUAGAGUGAAAUCAGUGAGAACCAAAAGUUUUAAAAACUGGUGGGAAACAGUUUUAGCAAAUUCAAAUUUCAAUUGCUAAAUUUUUUUGACGUGCACGACAUUUCCAGUGGCGGUUGAUGGUGUCACCCGCCCCUGAAGAUACCGUUACAAGAGACGGGUGAUGGCGUCACCCGCCCCUGGAAACAGCUUUAUAGGGGCGGGCCUUUUACCCGUCCUGCAAACAGCUAUCUGUAGCUGCGAAAGCUAGGAGCGGGUGGCGCGCCCGCCCUUGCAAAUACCAUUUCAACCACCCUUGGAAACCGUUUUCAUAGUAGUGCUAAAGGUAAAACGACCUACGAUUUGGAACGGAGGGAGUAUGUUGUAACUUUUUCUUUUGGCAGGGCAUAUAGUUCCUCUGAAACGGUUGAUCUCUCAUCAAUCGAAGAAUUUUAUUCUUACUGUACCGAUCUUGAACUAAUCACCGUAGAAUGCUGGCUCGAGAAUAUUGAGGUAACAAGGCUACGUCGUUUGAACCCACGCCCCGAAUGUAGAACUGCCAAUGGGUCGGCCUGCCUGGAAAUAUGACUGAUGACUUUUGAAUGCGAUGCGUGGAAUUCAAUUGACGUGGUCUUUGCAUAUGAUCCCCUUCAUAUACUUUGCAAUCAUGGGACUAGUAUAUAUUGAUUGGCUGGCACGUGCACCGUGAACUUCCAUGUACCCCUGCAGGCUGCAGCCCUGCUUUGCUUCAGAAUGCCAUGGCCGGAGGGAAAACGUAGUAGAAAGUCAGGCCCGUCCAAGUCUAUCACAACUACUAGUAGUACGGUGCGUGCAAGCAGUAUUCAUUUCUAGAAUUUUGACUUGACCUUGUGUCAACAUAUGUAUAUGAACGCAUGCUCACAUUUGAAGUGAGCAUGACAUGACCUACACCGUACCGCCUGGCACCUGCUCAAUCCCAUUCCAUCUCGUGCAAUUCAAGUAUAGGAAUACUAGUACAUCGUGCUGUGUACAUAUUUGACAAAUUUGGUUGUAACGUAUUCUCUCAGGUUACAAACUAUUAAUCUUUUUCUUACCUACUUCCUCUGUUUCAAAUUGUAGCUUGUUUUGAUUCAAGAGCAUAGAUUUUGCUAUGUAUUUAGAAAUAUAUAAUAUAUAUUUAAGUGCAUAAUAAAAAUCACGUAGUAGAAAGUCAUGACCCGAGGGAAACAGUAGUAGAAAGCCCGUGACGCUCGUCCAAGUCUUUAUCACAACUGCUUGGUAGUACGGUGCAAGCAGUCUUCAUUUCUAGAAUUUUGACUUGACCUUGCGUCAACAUACAUGAAUGCAUGCUCAAAAUUAAAGUGAGCAUGACCUAGACCGCUCGGCACCUGCUCAAUCCCAUUUAGGGAUGGAUAUGGAUGUAUUAUCCAAAUUCGUAUCCGCUAAAAAAAUUAAUAUGGAUAUUUGUAUUUGUAUUCGUUUUUAAUGUGGAUGUCAAAUGCAUGUAUCCGGAUUCGAUUUUCAGUAUUUUUCUCUAUCCGCUUCCGGAUUCGUAUUCAACAAAAAUAUAAAAUAUCCGAUAUUAUCCGUAUCCUUAAAGAAUAAAGUACCAAAUGAAGCUAUCUAAAACUUAUUUAUAUUACUAAAUACUAAUUACAAAUGAUCUUAAUUUUAAUAUUACUAAUAAAAUAAUUAUUUACAUCAUUUAAACUAUUAAAAAAUUAUCUAUAUGACAAAUGACUAAUUACAUUAACCUAAUAUUACUAGUGAUAUCUAAUGAUAAAGUUUAAUUAAUUGUAAUAUGACUAAUCAUAUUAAUUUUAAAUACAUUAUAUUAUUUAUCAAAUGAAUAAAUCAUAUUUAACUGUAUUAAGGAACUUAUUUUUAUUAUUAAGUGAUAUAUAUUUAUGGAAAUGCUUAUUUUUAUAUAUUUAAUUAUUUUUUAAUAAAUAUGUUAUUUUCAAUAAGAUAUCUAUUAUAUACUAUGCUCAUAAUUUAUUCCCUACUUGUAACAUGAUUUUUAAUCUAUUAUAAAACCAUCGAUAAAGCAAAAUUGAUACUCGUUAUGACGCUAUGUUAUAAGUCGAAUUUGAACUAUUUGUUUUGUAUUCGUAUUCGACAAUAUUGGUAUUUGUAUUCGAAUUAAAAUAUGGUAAAUAGUGCUAUCCGAAUUCGAUUCCAUGCAUAUAUGCUGAAUCCAUCCUAAUCCCAUUCCAUCUCGUGCAAUUCAAGUAUGGGAAUACUGUACAUCGUGCUGUGUAUAUUUGACAAAUUUGGUUGUAACGUAUUCUCUCUGGUUACAAACCAUUGAUCCUUUUUCUUACGUACAUGCAGAUAACCAUUGGCAACUGUAGUUAUAAUUUAGAAUAAUACAUUUUAUGUGUUGAGUUUUGGAUUUGGGAAAAUGGUAUGAGUAUUGUAGAUUCGUCUCAAUAAACAGUUUCAUAAAUGUAUACUUAUGCUAUGUUUGAUAAAUACUUCCUCCGUCCCAAAAUAUAGAUACAUUUAGCUUUUUCAAAAGUCACUUUGACCAACAAUACCUCCAAAACUAAUUUAUUUCAAAUAAAAAAGUUACAUAUUAUAAUAAUUAGUUUUAUCCAUUUUACUUCCCUCACCCAUCCACUUUGUCCGCUUAACCCCCUGCACAAAAUUUUAGCUCGUUUUACUCCCCUGAACUAUUUCAUUUAUCCAAUCUACCCCCUAAUUAGAUUUCUCUUUUUUGUUUCUCUUUAUAUGAGUUGAAUUUUGAGUUCAAAUUUUGUGAGCAGAUACAAAACAUGAUGCUUUAUGUUAAAAAAUUAUACUAAGAAUUUUUCAUGAUUAUUGUCACAGGUUAGGAAUAUUUAAUAUAAAAUUAAUAUUAGAUAUACAAAACUGUAUGAAAAGUAAUCAUGAAAAAAAUCUAAUAUAUUUUUCUAACGUUGAGCAUUAUGUUAUAAGUCAACUGACAAAAUAUGAAAUUAAAACUCAACUUUUACACGAAGAAGAUAAAUCUAAUUAGGGGAUAGAUUGAACCAAAUGAAAUAGUUCGGGGGAAUAAAGUGAGCCUAAAUUUUGUUCAGGGGUUAAGCAGAUAAAGUAAAUAGGUGAGGGGAGUAAAACAGACUUUUUCCAUAAAGGAUGUACUAACAUUAUUUUUAUGCUAUUAGUCUCUAUGAUUAUUUUUCUAUUCGCAGUCAAAGUUGAAAAUAUUUAACUUUAAAAAAGUCUAAACGUAGCUAUAUUCUGGGACAGAGGGAGUGCAUUACAUGAACAAAAUAUCGGUCAAGUUGUAUUUUGAAGACUGUGUGUCAAAAUCUAAAAUUAUUUAUUUGUGAGAUUAGUUGGCAGUAAGAUUGUGAAAAAAUUGUAUUCAUGAAAGUAUUAUACUAGUUUUUUAGAUGAUUCCGUUAACUUAAAUUUUAGAUGUUCUAACUUAAUAUUGAAAAAGACAUGGAUGAUCAAAUUUAUAGUUUAAUCAAAUUUCUAUUUAGCUGAUGACAUGCCGAUUUCAGGCCCCAUGAUGUUUCACUUUUUGUGCUUUGUCUGACAUUUUCUUGACUUAGCUAGCUAUGUGUUCAUGGCGCUGACACUGUCCCAACUUUUUAUUUCUUUGCGACAGUCAAAAGAAUUAUUUGCUACAACACAUUAGACGGUGUCCUAACACGACUGUCCUAUACUGCAAAGAACUUUCAGUGUCCUACAGAAAAAUAUUUCAAAAAGAUUUUGAACUAUAACUUGCAUUGAAGUCUUGAACCACAUUCGAUUCUAUGGUAGCCAUUCCUCAAAUCAAACACCCCAAACACCCCAUUAGUUCUUUUUGUUCGUUGUUUUGUUUGAUAUUAAGGGUUAUGUUUCUUGGGGUGUUUGAACCUAUUUCAUGAACCCGUUUGAUCAUUGUUAUAAGUUUCUUUUGCUUUCCGCUAAAAAAUACUCCCUCCAUUCUCUUUCGAUAUACCUAUUUUAAAAACUGAGAUUUCUCUUUUGAUAGAUCUAUUUGAAUUACCGUUUCGCAUCUGGUCCGAAUAACUGUCCGGUUCCCGUGCAAAGUAACUUCUUUGAACAAUAACCGGUGCAUGUAUACGAUGAUGUAGAUACUGAUGAGGAUUUUUUGCGCAAAAUCAUUUCCAUUAACAAGAAGUACAUAAUGACGCGAUUAGUUGGAUGAUAAGCAGUGUCCCUUCUUCUUUAUCAUCGUGCUAAGAUGAAAGAGUUCUAUUAAAAAAGAAUGGAGGGAGUAUUUGGCAGUACAAUGCACCAACACGGCAGCAAAACGUCGUUGCCAGCUGAUGACUAGAGGGGCCUAAUUUAAGUGCACGCGACCUUAACAUUUUUUCUUCUGUUUAACUUAGUUAGCAUUAAGCUUACUAUCGUUAUCGAUCGCCCAUAUAAAUAUCUGCUCCAGGAUUUUUUUUUUCCUUUUGAAAUUAACUUUGUAGCGUGGAAUAUAUAGGCCUUGCUAGCUGGCUAGGGUUUCUGGUACCGUUCAUUGCAUAUACGAGCUGGUUCAGCCAUUCCCUCAGCUAGUCAAAAUCAAAACAGAAUAAGAGUCUAAAAUAACUCGAAACAGAAUAAGAACUUAAUUCUGGUUAGCCCGGCAGCAAUUUAAAAAAGAGAAAACUUUUGUGAGAAUAUAUUUCUCCCUAAGUUCCCUUCCGCACGUACUGCAUAUGGUAGGAAAAACCUUUUGGUUCUAGCUAGAUGGCCCUCAUCAGUUUUGGAAUCGCCAUCAUUUUUCUACUUCUAGAAAUAGCACAUGAGACACGGAGAGAUCAACCCAUUCCAUAAGAUGCCACUACGUCAGAAAGCAUUUGUGCUGAUGGCUAGAAACCAUCUGUGCUUUUUGUGCUGGCGGCUAUCGCACCCGCCAGCAAUCUUGAGCCCACUAGCACAGACCGCUCUCUGCUGGCGGGCGACGUUAGCCACCCACCAGCACACCCGCCAAGCACAGAAAGCACAGAUGGCUUCUGUGCUAGCGGGUGCUUAUGCCGUCCGCCAGUAAUAUGUAUUUCCCAUUCAAUAUAUUAUUUCCCGUGAGUUAUUUAUAAUUUUUAUUUCCUGCUAGUUUUUAGCUGUCAAAUUGAAAUAUUUAUCUCCAACCACAUAACAACUAACUUGAAUAAUAAAUAAUUCACAUUAUUAAAAACCGUGUCGUGCAUAAUAUAUAAUUCACAUUAUUAAAAUCCAACAUUUGAAAUAGAGCUAUUCUUUGCCACGCUAAUAUUAAAACUACUACGCCCAUCUACAAAGAUUUGUGCACUCGUCCGCCAUCAACACACCAUCUUUAUCAAAGAAUGCUCCAUUCUCAUGACAAAUCUUGCGUAGGAUGAACCUCACCAUGCUUGUACAAAUGUUGUCGAUUUGUUUGUCUUCGAUCUUGCUAUAGUUACUGUCGAUGGUAGGCAUCUGCAAGUAUACAAUAAAUGAAGAUUAGGAUGUAUUACCAUUAGGAAGUUAGCACAUGGCAGUGUAUAAGAGACUUACGUCUUCAGGGUUCAUUCAGUACCUCCCAUUGUUUCUGAUGAACUCGCACACAUAAUAUCUGCAUAGCACAGAGCUGGGAGGUUGCUUGUGGCACUGCAAACAAAUAGAAAAAUGAUGAGUUGUUAUUAAUGACAAGUCUACAUUAUAUGAAAAAACCAAGUUUUUAUAUUCUUACAAAUCUAUGAUAUAUUAUUUUCAUAGCUUUCGUCCUUUUUUGGAUUGUGGAUCCCACUUUUUAGUAUGUAAAGCUUGUACACACUUUGAGGAUAUAAAGAUAAGAGUUAGUAAUAUAACUUAGGUGCAUAGAAUGUCAACAUGCAUUUAAGUGCUACCAAGGAAUGUUUUACUUUUGUAUAAUACCUAUGAAAUUCUUGUACCUAUCUCUAUGAUAGCUAGCUAAGUCGAGGACCAUUGACUCUCCUAGCUUGGGUAAAAUAAUGAUGCAAAUCCUGUGGUCUCUGCAUUAUAUUAAAAUAAUUUAUAUUAUAGACAACAUUAAAUAGCACCUAGUAUAUAUAUAGUAAUUAAAACUAGCUUACUUAAAAUUGUAAGUCAGCCUUUUUCUUCAUUACUUUUGCAAUGUAUACGGACACUUUGUGCAUUUCAUCUCUAUGGGCUUUUAUUUUUAUAACAUUUUUCUCCGCUUGUGUCUCUGCUUCUUCUAUUUGUGCUUUGAUCGCUUCCAUCAUUUUGAGCUUGUGCUCUGGCUCACUUAUUCGUGUUGGGUCCAGGUACGCUACCUUGAACCUGCCGUGCGUCAAUUCUUCCUCUCUCCAUUGCAUCCUGCAGAAUAUGUUGCUCAUGUACUUGAAAUAAAAUACGAAUGUAUCUAAAACUCGUGUAUGCGGUACAUGUGGACUUACAAGCACCAUACGGAAAUGAGAUUCACGUCGAGGUGUUGUUGACGGUAAAGUCUAUGCAAAUCCUCGAAAUCAAUCACAAUCUGGUACAGGAGAACGUCAAUGAAAACCGUAGUUGGGACAUGCGCGGUGAUUGCUCGAGUACCUUGCUUCAUUGCAUUCAUGAUCCAUCCAUGCAGCUUAUUCAGUUCUCAUAGAACCUCCAACAUGCCUUACAAACGCAUAACCCUGAAGAAAGAUAUAUAUCUCCAAUGGAUGGAAUAGCUUGGCAUCUCUAAAUUAAACCUAUUCAAGUAUGGCUAGUGAAGUCUAAUCUGAUAAUUAAUUGAUACAAAUCUUAUUUCUGUUGGAGAUGUUGCACCGAUGAAACUGAACAAAGAAACGCUUGUUUUAGCAUUGGAUUCUCUAAAAAGUUAAAUUCGUGCGUGUUGAAAUCCUUGGAGAUGUUGCACCGAUGAAACUGAACAAAGAAACGCUUGUUUUAGCAUUGGAUUCUCUAAAAAGUUAAAUUCGUGCGUGUUGAAAUCCCGCAUGCAUGCAUGGAUUAUGUGAGUGGUCUACUGUGAACCUCUGGCCGAUCUUACUCUUACUAAUCCGAGACUUUUUUAGAGUCUUCAUAUUAAUCUUCACAUGAAUGGCUAUAAAAAAGAAUUAGUUGCAUCAAGAAAAACAAAACACCUGACCUUGAUUUUGUAGACAGUGUCGUGAAUCUAUUCUGCUUAUAAGUUAUAAACUACCCACCCAUAACAUUAUGAAAAAUAACCAAAAGUAAAACACCUAAAACAUCAUCCAACUUACCCUCUUGUUUUUGUAAAAGGGAAAUUUAGUAAUCUUAGACAAUUAUAUCAAAACAAUACAAUCAUAUUAAAACCACAUUCCGGCCUGUGCACAUAUAGCUAAGAUGCACACAACCUAUACAAAUUUUGAAAAAGUAAAAAAGCACCACGACAAUAUCUAUCAAGUCGCAGCAAACUACCACAUAUAGCUUGAUCUUCAAUUCUGUGCACAAAACACAGCAACAUCUAAACAGGGAGAAAGGCUCUAAAAAAAACAAUGCUUCCAAGAAGAAAAUGGAGUGCACGCGUGCUGUCGUUGCCAUGGUCCAAUCAGUAAAUGCUAGACCAUUAGUUUUCACCCUAGAGAGCAAUUCUUUGGACUCCAAACAAUGUCUUCAAUAAGUCCAUUGCUUGCAAUGUACAACCAGCAAAUGUUAGAUCAUCCUUGAAAACUUGUCAAUAACCAUUAUUCUUAUCCAUGGGAUUGUUCCUCUCCCACAAAUAAGUAUCAAGAAUCUUCUGGAAGACUUGGGACCCAACUAGGCAUCGAAGUCAUGCUGAGGGGGGGGGUGGCAUAUUGAUCCACACCCCCUCUCGGGUUGUUUGCCUAGCAAACUCCUCAUAUAAAUACCUAAUCCUCUCGACGGCCCUGAGGAUUCAUUCACUGAUUUACAACAGAGAAGCAGAGGAUCCUGAGAAACGCCAUCUUGGAGAGCUGAGUACCGUAGGACUUCAUGUACGCAUUGUCUAGGACUUCGUGUAGGCUACUCUGUAGCUAACACGGUCACCCUGCGAGGAAGAACCAUGUUGGAGUUCUAGAGCUAGGCGGUAUGAUCUCGACGGUGAUCUAGGUGAUGUGUAAUCAUUUAUAGUAAUAAUGCGAUUCAUGAGUUCAGAUUUAUUAGAGAUUCAUAUGCCUCCUUUCAUGAUAUAUAAUGUUAUGAGUAUGAUUAUUUCAAUCUAUGGUCCGUAUAGAUUGCUUCGAAAGUUCUUAUAGUCAUGGUCAUGAUAUCUGAUCUAUCAUAAUAAUUAGACAUGCAUGAAUCUUGUAUGCAUACACUUGAAACCUCACGUAGAACGGUGGAAUCAUGAUAAGAUCUCGACCUAGUGGACGGUCAGUACUACUCGAGUAUCAAGGUGGAGAUUUAAAAAUAUGCUUUGAACGAGAACCAUGCUUUGCAUGCUAUCUCGUUACAUAAUUACAACUUAUGCAUAGUUUAAGCUUGCACGAAAUUGGUUUGAUGCAAGAGUCAUGCUCAUAUCUAAAAUAUGUAUGUUCAUAGUUUCUUACAACUCAAUCAUGCUUACAAGAUGCAUAGUUAAUCUAGAACCUAAUUGUUUGUUCCCACACAUUUUAUUGUAGGGGCGCCUCGUUUUUUCCUAGGGACGGGCAAAAUUGCCACCCACACCUACAAAAUGGAAGCCCCAUUUCCAGAGGAGGGUAGCCCCGUGGCCUGUCCCUGCAAGUGCUUCUAUUGCCACACAACAGCCACAUGUUGCCGCAUGUAGUGCUAUGAGGGAGGCACUGAUCCAAAUGUAACGUCAGACAAAUCAUGCAUUUCCAGACUACAGUUACUUUAAGAUUAAAGCUUUUGAAUACGAUAAGCUAGAUGUCACACAAAUGCCUAAACAGAUAUCACCAGCGUAUCAAUCGCCUGUUGUAUGUAACUUACAGUAAGUCAUUAUUUUUGAAAUUUGUUUUGUAAUGAUCUGCCAAUAUGUCUUCUAACACUUUUGUUUGUUGCCAUUUGACUCAAGGACGCACUCUAUAAUAGCUUCAUGCACGUCGACCAAGGUCUAGAAGUCCUACAUCAGUAACUGGGGAACAUUGGCUGGACAUUCACAUGAGCGCACCCGGGUCAAGUACGCGGCUGUUGGCAAGCUGACAUUACCGCUUCGGUGAGAAUAUUUGGAGAGACAUUCCACAUGCCCUACAAGGCUAGGGAUAGUGCAUACAUAUAUGCUCUAGAUUAUGUUGAUAGGUUAUUAGGAAUCGACAUUAUUGAUAUUAAUCAUAGUUUUUAUAUCUAUAUGAUUAACGGUCAUGAUGUGGACGAUCCAAGGUUCUAAGUAUCUCAUUUAUGUAUAAUGUAAGCCUUAAUAUGUAUGAUGGAUAUAUGUAAUGUACUCUAGUUAAUACUCUAGUAGAAUGAAAUGAACCUCUUAACCCUCAUAUGGUUGAAAUGAAGCCAUACUUUAGGGUUUCUACACUCUUAACCCUUACAUGUACUAAAAUACUUCUGGAUUAUUUUUCCCAUGAUCUAAAGUUCAUUAUAACCUUAGUGGGAGUUUUAAUAUUUUUUUGGUGUUUUGCUAUUUUCAACAUUUUAAAUAAUUUUUUAGAACAAAAAAGGAAAUAAUUUGCUAGUGAUGGUUUCACCCGCCCCUGCUAAUGUCCCUCUAUAUUAGGCUAGUCCGCGUCGGGACUUAGCCAAAAAUUCACAAAAGCGCGCGGGAUGCUGCCAGGCUGCUGAAUUUUUCACCUCCCUCCCCCGACGCCGCUCCCCUCCUAGCGUCGUGUCGCGACUCCUCCCCUCCCCUGCAAUGCCUUCCCAUCGCGGUGGCUCCCCGCGCUGGGCCGCAUCGCCGAGCCUUCUACCCACUCCUCCCGCGGGCUCUUGUCGCGGUGCCUCACCGCGCCACCUUUCCACCGUCGGACUGCAUCGCCAUGCCUCCUCUCCUCCUCUCGCAGCUCCCGUUGUGGCACCUCCCCACGCUGCCUCCACCGCCUAGGCCGAGCCCCUCCUAUCGCCAGCGACCGUGCCUCCCCUUCCACAGGCAUGGCACCUCCCCUCCCCACGAUGCCUCCACCGCUGGCCGGGCCCCUCCUCUCCACGCCGCCUCCAUCGUCGAGCAUCGGUUUCUUUUCUUUUCAUUUUUAUUUUAUUUAACUAUGAAUAGUAGCACUUAGUGAAAUUGUGAAUGUGAAUAGUAAAACUUGUGAAUGUGAAUCCAAUUUUAAAUUUUGAAAUGUGAAUUCUCAAUAGGGAUAGUAUUAGCAAAUUUGAUUGGAUAGUUUGGGCUGCAAUUUGAUUGGAAUGAAAAAUGUUCUAGUGAUAUGAUUAGUUAUCACAAUUUACAUGAGAUCUAAACCAACAAUUAUAAAUUUAUUCCAUAAUUUUGGACACUCUUUUAUUCUGAGUAUUUCAUGAAUUAUGAUAUUUUAUGGCAUAAUUAUUAUUGAAGUUGAUGUUUGUGAAAUAAUCUAUCUUAUUACAAUUUUAUUUGGAUAGUGUGGACUAACUAUGGCAAGUGGAAGUUCUUUUCGCUGUGGUGGUGUCGGCUGUGAAGGUGGCCGCCUUGGUGGUGGCGGCUGUGGAAUUGGCAGGGACACUACAUUUUCGAGGAGCCACCGCUGGCUCAUCAUCUAGGAUUUCACUUCCCUAAUCGUGUCAUUGACUUGCCUACCGGUGAUUGAAGCAAAGGAGCAAUUCCCAACAUAGUAAUAUUCUUUCCUUCUUGUAAUUGGUUUUUUUACUACACAUGAAUAAUCCCUAAAUUUACUUACUUACAAUGUAACUUAUCGACCCUAUUAGAUGGCUUAAAGAUGUUGUCGAAGCUAUAGGUGGUACUUCUCCUUUAGUGUAAUCCAAGGUUGUUGGUGAACGGAAUUUUAAAAGAGUAAAUAUCUCUUUUCAUGUAUGUUGGUAUAAUUAACGAUUAUGAAUAAAUCUGCAAGCACGCGGAUAUCGUUGUAGCUUUCACCUCAAAGUAUUCUAAGGGUAUCGAAUCCAAGGGAAUGUGUGUGUACUAAUUCCUAGUUUAGUCGGUCCAAGGACACACCAAGAUAGGUGGCGAGGGUAGAGACGAUUCCUAAGGAUAGCACUAUAGGUGACUUAAAGGUCGAUCUCUCAGGUCAGAAUACUCACUUCAGGCACUAGCUUACCUUGAAUGAGUUAGGCACCUCCGGCCAACGGCUCUAUGCUAUAUUUGAAUGUGGAGGAUUAAAAAGGACCAAUAGCGCUAUCACCACCUACGACCUAUCUCUAGGCUCGUGGGAUAUAAGGCAAACGAAGGAUAAUCCUUAGCCUAGACAGCACAUCUACGCUACUAAUUACUACUGCAGUCAAACUACGUCUGACACCCCGUAGCAAACUAUAGCUCUCUGUAUAAAUACAGAGCAAUGAACCUGCGAGUAAGAGAACUAAUCUCACUCAGAUAUAGAUACUACUAGUGUAUACUGUAUCAUGGUCUAGAGACAUACAUGAGAGCAUACAAGCCUAUACUAUCAUAGCAAGGGUAUUUGACUAGCAUACGAGCAUAUAAGCCAAGCAUAUAAAUAUAGCAAGGAUAUAAGACUACUCAUGCACAUAAGAACCAAGUAUAACUCUAUAAGAAGGAAUCAUGAAUACGAACUUACUUUACUCAAAGGAAGCCAGCAUCCGUAGAAUUACAAGCUGAGAGGAGAGUGCCGACACCUCAGCACUCCUUCCAAACUACCCCUCACUCUCUCCCUAUUCUAAGCACAAGCUAGGCAAGGCUCUGCCUUUGCAAUGAAGCUCAAACUCUCUCUUGGAUGGUGUGCUCUCAAGUGAGGCCCCCCUCUACUAUUUAUAUAGUGGAGGUGCCUUGGGAGAGUGGAGAUGCUCCAAGCAUCUCAAGGGAAUAUUCUCCUCCAACUUCUCUCCUUGUGCCAUCUAGCAGGAUCCGAGGCUUUGAGGCGAUAACUCGUAACUCCUGGCGAAACGGUCAUAACCGCCUUUAGGAAGUCACCUGGAGCCACCACAUGGAAGCUGAGAACGACAGGGGUCAGGGCCAGUUCGGGGUUCGGCCGAACCCUAGGCCCUACCUCUCGCGCCGCCUUUCAUCUAGGACGCUGCCCGGUGGGCCCUCAAGUCGGUCCUGGGUGCACGUGCCAAGUUAAGGCGGUUUAGUCCCUGAUGUGGGCCUAUGGAUCUGUGUGCUCUCUCCUGAUGGGCUGGAGUUGUGUUUCUUUGCCUCUUGGGUGUGUUUCCUCCUCCUUUCUAAGGAUAAGUGACCUGCACUUGUGGAAUUGGUUACUGAUAAAUCCCUACCACUAGGUUGAUGUUCAUGUUUCCGGUAUUUAUGCAGGAGUUGAUAGUCAAGAAUUGGUACUCAAGAGCCGUCAACAACAAGCUCGCACUUAGCCUUUGCUCGUCCUUGAGUGAAGGGCAAAGUCUAAGAUGGAACAUAACUUCUUAUGGUAAGGAGCAAAACAUGUAAGAUAUUCAAAGCCAUACCUGUACUUGUGAACUUUUGGAGUGUCUAUCAUGUCACCUUGGGUGGUUGAUGGUUGGAACGGUCUUGAUUCAAAUCCCCUCCACUCUCUCUAUCUCAAUAACUUGGGUUUUUGACAAUGUUUUUUAAAAGAAAACCUUACCUAGCUCCUCAAAUGAUUCUCUCAAAUCGCUCAAUGUGUAUAAUCUUCACCAAGGCAUUAACCUCCCUUUCUUCACCCUACUUCUAAUAAGGCUUAAGUAGAGCUCAAGGUAGGGAUAAAGAUGAGGCCUACCUGCAUCACAUAUGUUGCAAAGCCAAAGACUGGAUACAAGUAGAAUACAAGUCAUACAAUCUGAUCAAGAUGUGCAAGUGUGUGGAUGGAAUAUGGUGGAAAGGUGUAUGGACUCCUUUUGUAUGAUUCCAUCUCUCUCCUUUUUCUCUUUCUUUUGGACAUGGGCUAUCUUUUUCUCUUUCUCUUUUUUUCUUUUUCUUCUUUUUUCCAUCACGCUUUGAGCAUGGCUUUUAUUUCUUUUUGCAUAGCCCAUGUCUCUUUUGCAAGGAUACUUUUGGAGAGAGAGGUCACAACACAUGUGGAGCUUUAUUUGGUGGAUGGAUAGAUUGGAUGUUACUAGCUUCAAUUGUAGAAGUAUAGUAUAUGAAGGUGGAGUGUACGUGAUCUUGAUCAUGAAAGUAUGAAGAAUAUUCCACAAGAGUCACAACAAUUUGGCAAAGCUCAAUAUGAUAGCAAGCAACAUAUGUGUAUAUGUUUUUCAAUAAGAUCAACAUAUGGCUUUGGUAGGAUGGAGGCAUAUCAUUGAGGAGCUAGCUAGGUCAUUGCUUUUUAAGAUAAAUUUCCCAAGUACUUUGGACAGAAAAGAGCAAGGUUCAUUUUAUCAUGCCAUAUCUCAAACAUCAACAACCUAGGUAGCAUGCUUUCCUAAAGAUACAGGUUCACAAGCAAGAAGGUACAAGCGAGGAAUAUAGAACAUGUAUGCCAACCAUAAGGAGCAUAUUUUCAGCCAAGGUUCAUUUUAAUUCUGAGUUUAAUUUUUAAUGAUCAGAGAUGAGAUUCAUUUAAACUCAUGAACUAGGGAGUAGACAGGUGGAAUGCGCAUACCAUCGUUCUUGAAGAAGAUGGGGAUCGAGGAGAACCAGUGGUGGUUCAGCCAAACCACGGGGGCGGCUGACUAAUUCUGGUGCCCUCGCCUUGUCCCUUGUCAUGCUCGCGUAGUCGAUGUGCGACACCCUUGUGGGAGAUCUCGAGUGUGUAUGUUGAUGAUGAGUUUAAGAGAUCUCCCCCACACUUGUGCUUGUAUCUAGUGCUUUAUUCAAACAAAAAGGUGGAAACAAAAGGGGAAUCUACUAGUUCGAGAACCAGGAAGACUUACUUUAUUCGAACUCAAAUAUUUUUGGAAUUUUUUUAUUUUCACCAUGAGACCUAACUCAAAACAAGGCUUAAUUAAAAUUGCAUCAAUAUAAGAAAACGAGGAUAUAUUUACGGUGGACCCUUGAAGGGUGAUAGGUACCUCCAUUGUAUGUUGUGCAACAUGAAUCCGAUGCCUUGGUUUAUCGUCCCAUUUGAAUCAAGCUUUACCCGUUCGGAUUUGAAGAUUUCCUGCAGGGUUUAGUCCACAUGUACAACCAAGAUCUAUGAAAGUUUUAACUCCAAGGUUCAUUAACCAAACUUUACACCAUGUCUCAUUUGGUUAAAGGAGACUUUUUAAUCUAAGCACCGUGCUUAAUUCAAAACAGCCUAUGAACGUACGUCGAUGAAACAUACAUUCAAACCAGAGCAUAAGAGCAUAGAUAAAGGAAGCAUGAAAGCAUGAUCAAACUAUUUUCAAAGGGAGAUAAACAUGAGUACAAUGCUGAUGAACCUCGGGCUACCUCCCUGAAUGGCUUUGUUUAAAGUCAAAAGCAGGACAUAUCUGAAGGUACUUACCAUGGCAUUUGGGUGAUGAAGAUUUCUAAAUCGUCACCAUGGUAACUCUUUUUUUUUUAGUGGGGCAAGAUGCAUAGACCAACAGCAUCUCCAAACCAAGAUAAGAUUUGGCAUGAAAGGAACUUACUCGGGAUACUCGCAUACCUCCCCCACACUUGGAGUUUGCAUUGCUGGGCAACGCAACUCAAGUGUGUGGAGUUUAAGAUUUCUUUCAUAAAUGUUCCCUUACCAAGACUUACUAAGGUGUUGUAGUCGGUGUAGCUCCCAUGUUGUUAGUUGUCACCUAUCCAUCAUUCUUUUUAAUCUCCACCUGAAAUGGUUAGCGACAAAAAAUACCCAAAGGACAACUUCAUCCUAGAAACAUGCUCUUGCUUUUUAUUCAAAGGGAAAAGUCUAUGAUAAUUGGGCUAUCUCUCGGUACUGCUUUGUUUAUGGUCACAAGCUUGACCAUGGGAACUUCCUCUUGCAGCUAUCAUUGGUGAUGUCGUUCCCCUCUCACCACCAAUUGUUGAUGUGUUAUUGAAGCUUUAGCUGCAAGGUCAGCGCCAUAGUGCAUCCAUGAAAUUUGCAAUGUUUAUGAUAAACAUAUGCAUCUAUAACCAACCUUCUAAACUUUUUGCAAGAGAGGACCUUAAGGUGGUUGUAGUCCUCGUGUGUGCGCAUGGCACAAAGCAUGGCUGACUCUGUAAAGGCAUUAAACGAGAAUGGUUCUUGUGGUAUUUCAAGAAUGAAGCUCCUAUGCUCAUCUAAGGAAUCCUUUCCUUCAGGCUCCAGAGUCAACGUCUCACAAAAUUCCAUGGCCCAUGGAUUCUCCAUCUCAAGAGAUUCAUCGGGGAAGAUAUAUCAAUGUUGAUUCUUCAUCGUGGUUGAAAACAACAUGAUACGGGCCAACAGGAAGAGGUUCAAACUCGAUUGAGGGUGAUGGUGAUCGUUCGUCUUCACAAAGGUGAAGAGUUUCAUUCAAGUCGCACUCUUUGAGGGCGGCAUAUUCUAUGAACUCAAAGAGAACGGGCUCGGAUGAGACCAACGGAGAUGCAUGCAUCACCGUCUUGAGCGAGUUUUGCUCAGGAAGAGGCUUUGCCAUAGGAUUUUCUAAACAAGAGGUAGUCGUGGUGGAAGCAGUUUCCCUAAGCUUUCCAUCAAGGAUCCAUUGAGAUGCACCAUCUAGGUGGGGGUUUUCUAAUGGGUAGCCUAUGAGAAGAUCAAAAUCGAGGAUAUCAAAGAUGUGGAAAUCUAGGUUGACCUCGAUUUUUUCUAUUGUGAGCGGCACGGCACUUGCGACCCCCGACAUUCAAGGAUGCGUCCCAAGGACAACUUUUGAGGAGCUUGUCGGAUGGUCUUAGCAGAAUGUUGCCCAAAAGGGUGUACGUUAUGUGCCAUGGCAUGAUAUUGGCCUCCAUGAUGGGGUUAAGAUGGGCUUCUACGGUAAUUCCCCUUAUAGAACAAGGAAUGAUCAUGGAGGGUGAACUAAUCCAAAUUGCUUCGGAAAAGUGUCUUGCUCCAUACGAUCAUUCCUCCUUCAUGUCCGCCUCGAGAAAGGCUUCAUUGGGAGGAUUGGGAGGAGAAUGGAGGUACCGUAGGCUUAGGGGAAGGUUAUGUCAAGGGAUUUUUUAAUUGAGAGAUAUGGACAGAAGAAGGUUCCUUCCCUAAUUGGACAUCAAAGAAAUUGUUGAAGCAAAAUCUGGACUUCAGGCUUCUGCGUUGAACAACACGGAGGACCUGGGAGAUCUACUUAACUCCAGUGCAGGCUCCAAAUCAGCUCGCGAGUGGUGCAACACGUGCCAAUCAAUUUAACCUGAAAUGUAAUCAUGUGGUGUAAAUAAAUAAAGCAUUAAUGGCAUGUGCCAUCGACUAUAUGAGCCAACGGGCCAAGAUAAAGCAUUAUAAAACAACAGCUAUAAAAGGAGCCCUUCCUAACCAUGCGCACACCAAAUAGACUAACAGAUCUAGUCAAUAUCUUGAUAAGUGUAAUUGAACUUAGAUAAGGUAACACGAAUGAGAGGGCAUUGACAUCAAUCUAUUAACCUAAGAGAUUAGAACAUAGUAGCAAGGACCUCUUACCUACCGCUUACGAGCUAAUUAAGCUAAUGGAAUCCUAAUCAAUGUCAUGACUAUGUAAUUGGACUUAGACAAGGUAACAUGGUGAGAGGGUAUUAACUUUGGCCCACUAACUUAAUCAGACAAGCUCACGGCAGCAAGGCCUCGUACACGCCGCUAUCGGUUCAAUGACAUCAUCAUGCUUCCAUGAGAUAUGGAUGAUACCUAGCCGAAGCAUCGGCUCUCAACAGUAGUGUGCUGACAUAAAAGGCCUAACGGUUAGCAACACAAGGUGCAAGGGUAAAAAUCUACCUGAUCUAGCAUAUAUAAAGUAGUAAAAGCAUGCAAGAUCUAACCAGUCAAUACAAUCUGAUAACUAUGAAUGUUUAAACAAGGCAAGGGAGCCAAUAAAGACAACCUAACAAGAUCUAAGCCGUUCGAUAACUGUGAGCAACCGUCGAAGACAAGCAAAAUAUUGGACAAAGUCUAGAAAGUUCUACUUGCAAUCUAAGAUAACUCGAUAACUAGCCACACAACUGAAUAUCAGAAUAUAAGACUUAACUUAGAAAGUUCUGAUAGAGGCCGUCAUAAUGACCAAGUGACGGUACUUACAAGCUCGCCUGAGAUCGAAGCCGAUGCAGCCGUGCGCGUAGGAAGGAACUCGUCGAAACUACUCUACUCCUACUCCUAAGGUUUUGGUGGUGUGGUGCUGAAAGUUUGUAUUGAUUGAUGAUUAUUCAUUACAAAUCUCAUGGGCUUAUAUUUAUACCUGGAGCAGGUUAAAAUCCUAGUCGAUUACGACAUGACUAUUACAGCUAUUUCUAAAAACUACCUAAGAUAAGUCUCCACGCUUUACCUUAUUUGGUGGAGUCGAUUUCACUUCAGAUCGGGCUUUCUCUAGUCUUCUAUCAGCUUCUAGAACCCUGGUCUCCCACAGCUGAUCUUGGUCAACGUGAAGUCACCAACGAUCUCUUUCUCUCUCCUUCAUCCGCUAUCAGAACCUUAUCCAUAGUGCGUGACUCUGGCCAAAAAUCGGUGUCAACAGAAAUUCGAGGUGUUUCUAUGGUGUCUAUAUGGAUCUUCCUCGAAUUGGAGAGGGAACUUCGGAGGUUGAAUCUCUUCUCCCUCCAAUGUUCUUGGUUCGGGUGAGGGUUCUAUGGCUGAAUCUGAUGAUGUGGAAGGUGAAGGAUCGGAUUCGGUUCCUAGAAGAUUCUCAUGGCUUGACUUACGCUCUUCUCGGAGGGGUAUGGACUCGACUAUGAAUGAGGUGUUCUCAGUGAAAUGAUCUAGGAUUUUCCUACCUUCAGCCAGAGUCUUAUGGAGAAAUGACCCUCCGGCGAUAAUGUUGAUAUAAUAGUCGGAAUCCCUAUCGAGACCCAUAUAGAAGUUUUGAAGCAACGUGUGGUCAGGUAUCAAUAGGGCAGGGCAUGAUUUCACUAAGAGCAAAAAUCUAGCCCAAGUCGCGCCUAUGGAUUCCUUCUCAUUCUGCUGAAAGCAGAGGAUAUCCACUCGUAGAGAGGCGAGAUGGGACAAGGGGAAGAAUGCGAUAGAGAAUUUUUCUCUAAGGUCGUCCCAAUUGCUGUUCGCACUUCCUACGGUAUACGUGUACCAUUGCUUAGCCUUCCCUAUAAGAGACAAGGGAAACAACUUCCACUUGAGGAUAUAUUGUGUCAUUCCUGCAAUGGUGAAGUAUGAACACAGAUGCUCGAACUCACGCAGAUGGUGGUAUGGGUUCUUGCUAUCCAACCCAGAGAAGGAAAGGUUCCGAACCUUAGCAAUUAUGUUAGGGUAGAGUUCAUAGCCAGAUGUAAGUUUUGGUUGCACAGAGGGUGGUGGCUCUAAGAACUCUCCCUUUGGGGUAGAGAGGUUUUGAAAGGAUGGCUUCUCCAUGGGUAGCGGGGGCAAAGGUAGAAGGAAAGAAAGCUAAAAAGAUACGAGGACGACUAGGUACUAAAAAGAUACAGCAACCAUUCCCCAGCAACAGCGCCAGAAAGCUUGUUGGUAUAAUUAAUGACUAUGAAUAAAUCCAUAAGUGCACGGAUACCGUUGUAGCUUUCACCUCAGAGUAUUCCAAGGGUAUCAAACCCAAGGGAACGUGUGUGUACUAACUCCUAGUUUAAUCGGUCCAAGGACACACCAAGAUAGGUGACGAAGGUAGAGAAGAUUCCUAAGGAUAACACUAUACGUGAGUUAAAGAUCGAUCUCUCGGGUUAGAAUACUCGCUUCGGGCACCAGCUUACCCUGAAUGAGUCAGGCGCCUCCUCCUAACAACUCCACCAUAUAUUCAAACGUGGAGGAUUACAAAGGACCAAUAAGGCUAUCACCACCUACGGCCUACAUUGCGACCCGUGGGAUAUAAGGUAAAUGAAGGAUAACCCUUAGUCUAGACACCACGUCUACGCUACUAUUUACUACUGCAGUCUAACUAUGUCUGGCACCCCGUAGAAGGCUACAGCACUCUAUAUAAAUAUAGAGAAACAAACCCGUGAGUAAGAGAACUGAUCUCACUCAGAUAUAGAUACUACUAAUGUAUACUGUAUAAAGGUCUAGAGACAUACAUGAGAGCAUACAAGCCUAUACUAUCAUAGUAAGGGUAUAUGACUAGCAUACGAGUAUAUAAGCCAAGCAUAUCACCAUAGCAAGGAUAUAAGACUACUCAUGCACAUAAGAACCAAGUAUAACAAUAUAAGAAGUUAUCACGAAUACGAACUUACUUCACUCAAAGGAAGCCAACAUCCAUAGAGGUACAAGCUGAGAGGAGAGUGCCGACACCUCAGCACUCCUCCCAAACUACCCCUCACUCUCUCCCUAUUCUAACCACAAGCUAGGCAAGGCUCCGCCUUUGCAAUGAGGCUCUAAUUCUCUCUUGGAUGGUGUGCUCUCAAGUGAGGCCCCCCUCUACUAUUUAUAGAGUGGAUGUGCCUUGGGAGAGUGGAGAUGCUCCAAGCAUCUCAAGGGAAUAUUCUCCUCAAACUCCUCUCCUUGUGCCACCUAGCAGGAUUCGAGGCUUUGAGGCGGUAACUCUUGGUGAAACGAUCAUAACCGCCUUUAGGAAGUCAGCAAGAGCCACCACGUGGAAGCUGAGCAUGAGAGGGGUUAGGGACAGUUUGGCCGAACCUCGAGCAUCGCCUCUCGCGCUGCCUUUCACCUGGGACGCUGCCUGGUGGGCCCUCAAGUUGGUCUAGGGUGCACGCGCCAAGUUAAGGCGGUUUGCCCCCUAAUGUGGGCUCAUGGAUCCGUGUGCUCUCUCCUGAUUGGCUGGAGUUCUGUUUCUUUGCGUUUUUGGUGUGUUUCCUCCUCUUUUCUAAGGAUAAGUGACCUUCAUACAAAUAUUCACCAACACUUAUGAAAUUGAUUAGUAAUAAACCCCUACCACUAGGUUGAUGAUCAUCUUUCCGGUAUUUAUGCAGGAGUUGACAACCUAGAAUUGGUACUUAAGAGCUGUCAGCAAUGUACCUGUUCAAGAAAUAUAGUUCAACUGGAUGGCACCAAGACAGGCCAUCCCGAUGGUUUCAAUUGCCGCAUGGGGUCAAGUAGCACCAAAUAGGGUAACUUUUGAAAGGACCGUCGUGGAGGCCUGCCUACAACAGCUUAAGGAUCAUGGGUAAUUUGUGCAAGACUUCUCAUAUUUUCAAAUAAAGGCGCUCGAGGAGGGAGAAAGCAAUGUGAUUAUGACUAUUGAGAGGCUUUGUUGGCUGAAUCAACAUGACAUGGAAUGGAACAUUUUUUUAUCAAUCUAAUCAUUCUUUUGUCUUUAUUAGUUAUGUUACAUCUUUUAACUUUCAUCACGUUAUUCUCAUCUUUUAGGAUCUCUUUGUAAUACCAUUGCGUCAAUAAGCUUUUAUGUGAUUUUGGCUCAAGUCUUGGAUGUGUUGAAUUAUAGUUACCAAGAUAGAAAUCCGAUAUGCACUAGAGAUUUCAAGCUCCAGACCCAUUUCACUUUUUACAUGCCAUAUCAAUUUACCCUCUCCAUUGUUCGAGAUUUAUAGUAGUGUAUGCAUGUGACCGUCCAUGUGAAGCGAUAGAGAGUGCACUAAUUCAUGCUCUAGCUUAUAUUGAUGAAAUUCUAGGCUUUAUGAUUGGAGACUUAAACUAUAUUGCAUAUCUAAAAAAGCGAAGCGGAGUAUGAAAUAUGUAACAUGCAUGGAUGUAUUCUUAUGGAUUUUGAACUUGUUCUCUCUAAGACCUUAAGUAUUGAUGUACGAACUUUCAUUGUGAGACAAGUUAUAUAUAUUUUAUUGCAUAUACAUGUUCUUUAAGUGUUGGAUCUGAAUGGGCUGAUACAUGGGAGAACCAUAUUUUAAAAUUUUGACGUAAAAAUAGUACAAAAUUUUGGCAGAAAUGACAUUUCCAGGAGCGGGGAACGCCAUCACCCGCCUCUGGAAAACAGUUUGCAGAAGCGGGUCAUGGCGUCACCCGCCUCUGAAGAUACCAUUUCCAGAGGUGGGUGAUAACAUCACCUGCCCUUGGAAACGGCUUUAUAGGGGUGGGCCUGUUAUCCGCUCCCGCAAACAGCUAUUUGUAGCUAUGAAAAUUAGGAGUGGGUAGCGCGUCUGCCACUACAAAUGCCGUUUCAACCACCACUAGAAACCGUUUUUUAUAGAGGUAUCCUUUUCAAGGAAAAAGCUAUAUUGAUACGUCUAACACAUAGUAAUGCCUGUUCGCUUUAGCUUAUCAGCCAGCUUAUUAGACACCGAAUAAUAUUUUUCUCUCACAACAAAUCAGCCGUUUCAGCUUUUCAGCCGACUCCAUCCGAACGACAUGCAUCUGCACAGGCGGCAAAUAUAAAAGCUAGCUGCUGCGUCAAAGAUAGAUAUCCAGUCGAACACGCAUGCACUUGGGAGACACAAACGACCGAUGAUGGAUCGAUUGAUGCGACCAAUAUACUCCAAUCCUGAGUGGAAUACACAUGCAUAGUACACACACGAUGGAUCGGAGCUGUACGUCGGAGCAAAAAUGGAGCAACACGAAACGUCGAAACCAGCAUGUAGCGUUGCGAAUCCCCUGAUGGAUCGACGAAAGGAGAAAAAAAGAUCAACACUAAAUCAAAUGCAAAUCUAAGCCCAACAUCACUCAGGGUCAUCAGGAGAAUAUUCCGUACUGCUUCAUUGCGCCGCCCAGUUAUGGAUGGAUGACGUGUCAUGCAUCCUGCCUCACAUUUACCAGACCAAAUCCAAGAGAGAAUAUCGUCUAUCGCGGCUAGCCCGCAUAUAUUAUAUAAUAAUAAUGUAACCCAGCAGUUUUUCUUUGUUCGAGCUGAUCCCCAUGGAACAAGAGAUAGAUAUAUAUGUGUGUUACUUCAGUGCUUAGCAUGAAACAAACCGAGGUUUAUUGGAGGCAUUAUCUGACAGAAACAACCGUCAAAAUUGAUGUGCCUUUUGGAUAGAUUUGUAGUUCUUCUACCAGUACAACAAGUGAUCGUCCAAUUUUACUUAGCUUUUGUGCCUUGUAGAUAUAUGAACAGGAUAAAUGUUGAGCGCGCAGUAUUUAUUAUUUCCGUCACUGACAAGUAUUUGUCUUAACUCCACAGUUUCAAAUUUUAGUUACAAAUCAGUUUUUAUCUGUUAAAUUUGACAAUGUGAAAAUGGCACGAGUAAAUUCAUACCGAAAUGUAGUCUCACAAUAGUAUACUUUUUUUAUGUUUCAUAAAUGCUUCAAAAAUAAGUAGUAAAAUUUGUACUUACAGCAUCUCCAUCGACUCUCAAUAAUCCUUGGGGGAGUUGAUUUUGCAGUCUCCCAAUAAAACCUUCCGAAUAACCAAUUCUCCAGAUCUUGCUGGAGGGGAGCGGGUAGGCGGCGACCAGGGGUGGAGGCGGGCAUGUGAAAGAACGCGGGGGAGGAGAACCUUAAGGGGAAAAAGAUGGGCGCGAACAGAACCGGUCGUUUUCGUGAGGACCAAUUUUUCCCUCUAUUUGAGGAGAGUUGAGAGCAAUUAUUGGGAUGAGCAAAAAAAAAUAUCAGGAAAAGAGAGGUGUAUUGGGAUACUGCUGGAGCAAGUUUAUUCCGGAAGUUUUUUUGGAAAAAGGAAGACUACUGGAGAUGCUCUUAGAAAGUUGUGUCUAUGCCCAAAAUAUCUCUUAUCUGUGAUUGGUGGUAGUAUUCUACGUUAAUUAUAGGACCAUGAGUGUCCAUUAAUACUAAUACUAGUACAUACAUCUUCAAUUACAAAAUAUAGAUCAUUUUAGUUUUCUCCUAAUUCAAAUUCCUUAAAAUUUACCAAGUUUAUAAAAAAUAUAUUAACCUUUGCAAUAUCAAAUUCGCUAAGACAUAUUUUAUGGUGGAUCUAGUGCAACUAAUUUGAUGUUAUAGUUUUUGGUGCAUUUUUGUAUAAACUUAGCUAAAGAUCAAAAAUUUUAGUUUAGGACAAGACUAAAACGAACUACACUACACUUUGAAAUAGCUGGAGCAGAUCCAUUUCAUAUGAAAACUGAGUAUAGCUUAGUAGUUAGAACCUACCCAUCUUCGUUAGAAUCCUCAACAUGGCACAGGUGGUUGUAUUUUUCCUAAAUUUAUUCUAUGAUUUAAUAGUCUAUGCUCUCAGUAGUAGUCUCGUGACCGUCGACAACUAGAUACCUAUUAUAACUUUGUCAAUCUCAAGAUCUGCCGGCUCAAUCUCUCGGAGGUGUUUAUAGAGGUAGAGUUUGCAUAUACAUGUUCGUGUGUAUAUGAGUAUCUCUAUGAAUGUACGUAUUAAAAGAAAAUGCUAUAAGAAAUUAGUAGAAAAUAAAUAUUUUUCGAUUUGCUGGAGGAAGAGAUAAAAAAUAAAUAAAAGUAUAAAGAAAAGUCAACUGUAGGUGUGGCUUGUCUAAUGGAGGACGGGGACUUUGCUAGGACUGAUUCCAACAGUAUCGGACAGUGAGAGGGAGAAGAUGAGAGAGAAGAGAACCAACAAAUGGGCUCUCGAGCUGGUGGGUUCGGUCAACGCACGGACGAUAUACAAAUGCAAUGCGUUUUUAUUGCAUCGUACAUCGAUACAUGCAUACAUCCCGAUGCCAAAAAUACAUACUCUAAUUUAUACCCGCUCCGUUAUAAAUUGUAAGUUAUUUUAACUUCUUUAGAUUUAUAGAUAUUAUUACCUAACCAGACAUACAAACAAUCUAGAAAAACUAAAGACAAACAAUCUAGAAAAACUAAAGACAACAUACGAACAGUGAGUACUUUAUUAAUUUCCUACCGCGCGCUGGAGCUGAUAAAUAACAGAAAAAUCAGCGAUUGCCUCGUCCUCGUAGCGAUCUCCUUCCCGUCGUCCCUUCUCCGUCGCCUCCUCGCCUCCCAUCAAUCCCUGAUGAGCGCAGUCCCCUCCCUAUAAAUACAAGCUCCAUUCCUCCUCCUCCUCCUCCAUUGCUUCGUUCUCAUCACUGCACAAGCUCGGCGCGCCAUAGCCAAUCUCUAUCCGAUCCUAGAGCUAAGCUAGCUUGUUGCGUGACUCGAUUCAUCCGAUCCCACUGUGAACUUGAGCAGGGCAGACACCACUUAUCUCGUCGAUCGGAUUCACGUAUAGUAGUAAUACAUGGCAAUCCUCGACCUCAACCAGGCCAUGAAUAACAAUAAUACCACCGCUCCUCCUUGCCAUACCCAUGCGGCUCCAGCUUCCGAUCAGCGCCUCCGUCAAGCAGAGUGGAAGGCCGGCGACGACGCCGACAACCCCAACCCCCGCCACCAGGCCGACGCAGAGGAGGAGGAAGAAGAGGAGGAGCUGCUCCUCAAGGGCGUGCGGCACCUGUGCGAGCGCGGCGGCAUUACGAGGCUGCCGGCCCGCUACGUCCUCCCGCCGUCCGACCGCCCAGCGCCGCCGGACCACCACCAGCGCACCAGCGGCCUGACGAUCCCCGUCAUCGACCUCGCCCGCCUCCGCUCGCCCGGCGCGGGGCGCGCGGCGGCGCUGGUGGAGCUGGACGCGGCGUGCCGGGACUACGGCUUCUUCCAAGUCGUCGGCCACGGCGUCGGCGUCGGCGGCGGGGCGAUGCUAGACGUGGCGCGGCGGUUCUUCGAGCUGCCCUUCGGCGAGCGCGCGCGCCACAUGUCCCCCGACAUCCGCGCCCCCGUGCGGUACGGCACCAGCUUCAACCAGCUCAACGACGGCGUCCUCUGCUGGCGGGACUUCCUCAAGCUCGUCUGCGACGACCUCGAUGGCGUCGUCCCGUCCUGGCCGGACGCGCCCGCCGACCUCAGGUGCGCUGAUUCUUCGAUCCGAUGCAAUUUCUUUCCGGUGGUUUCUCUUUUGGUUUUACCCGCUUGCUAGUUCAUCUCGUUCAUGCCUGCGCAUAUAUGUGGGUCCCUUUCUGAUAACAUCUCAAGCCAGGAAGGAAACAAAGUGAAAGUAGCAUACAUGCAGUGGAAGGAAUCAGAUAAUCCUUCAGUGAGCGAAGGGGGACUCAUCUAGAGUUGUACGUUGAAGUGGACAUGUAUAUGUGCAUCCCCCGCGGAGCAGAGCACAGGACAAAGCUCUUGCUGAUGCGACUGCAUGCCCCCAAAUGUUAGAGGCCCACCAGCGCUGCCGCAAAAUAAAAUAGGGGGAAAAAGGAAUAAAUCUGCGCUGCCCUUUUUGCCCGCAUCAAAUACGCAUAGUCGCAUACGCAUGCAUCCACGAAUCCGACGUGUCCACCUAGCUACUUGUCGAGUGUCGACUACACUGGCUCAUAUACAUGUAUAUAUGCGUAUAUGGCAACCGCAGGGAGGUGGUGUCGGCGUACGCGCGGUCGUGCCGGCGGCUGUUCAGGGAGCUGAUGGAGGCGGCGCUGGAGGCGAUCGGGAUCGGCGGCCCCGGCGCCGGCGAGGUGCUGGCGGGCUGCGACGCCGGGUCGCAGAUGCUGAUGGUGAACUGCUUCCCGGCGUGCCCGGAGCCGGACCUCACGCUGGGGAUGCCGCCGCACUCCGACUACGGAUUCCUCACCGUCCUCCUGCAGGACCAGGUGAACGGCCUCGAGGUCCGCCACGCCGACUCGUGGGUCCUCGUCGACCCGAUCCCCGGAUCGCUCGUCGUCAACGUCGGAGACCACUUCGAGGUAUUGUAUACUUGUGCCAAUAACGCAACUCUUCUGGUAUUUAAAAAAGACGCGCACGUACGUACACAGAGUUGCGUCUUGUUGCGUGGAUUGGAAACCAACAAUAAUAAUCAUGCAUGUUUCUUUUUUGUCUCCUGUUUUAUUUUAUAUUAUAUACAGAAACAAAUGAAUGCUAUAUAUAAUAUGAUUGAGCUAGCGGUCAAAUCUCCUAGCAAAUGGUGGUCCGAUACCGACGAACAUAUCGAUCGGUACGCCAAUCUGGCUGGCAUAUUUAGUUAAGAUUGCGAGAUAGUACACUGUUUAACUAACAGUUCCAAGAUGCUGGCUUUAUGGAACUAUACAGAUCGAUGCGAUAAGAAGCUAAUAAGCUAGUGUAUAUGCACGAUGCAGAUGUACAGCAACGGGCGUUACAAGAGCGUGCUGCACCGGGUCCGCGUGAACUCGGCGCGGUCGCGCAUCUCUGUGGCGUCACUGCACAGCCUGCCGCCGGCGAGGGUCAUCGGGCCGGCGCCAGAGCUGGUGGACGACGACAAGAACCCGAGGAGGUACAUGGACACGGACCUCGCCACCUUUCUCGACUACCUUAGCUCGGCCGAGGGCAAGCACAAGUCCUUCCUCCAGACCAGGAGGCUCCUCACCAGCUGACCAUGCACGGGCGGGCCCACAGGCAGCCACCCGCUUGAACCACCUGGAUCCGUCCUAACUGUUAAGCAUAUGAUUACGUACGACGUGGGUCCCACCAGUCCGUGUCUGUCGUUUUGGUCAGCAGCAGGAGAAAAGUCAGCACGUAUAGUACCUGCGGUUGUGGACCAAGUUGACCGGUCAAACCCGUAGCCCGACUGGUCCCAUCUACUGCUGCUGCAUGCUGUCUACCCUAGCUAGCUAAUAAGCUAUGCUACUUUAUUUUCAGCUAAAAGAAAAAAAUAUUAUCAGGAUCGAGAAGCUUUAUUUGUCUAUAUGCUGUGUCAAAGCAAAAGGCACAGGAUCCAUACGGUAUAGGAUACCCGUGCAUGGAGAUCCGUGCUGCAUAUGUAAUCAGAGGAGCGGGCAGGGACCAAAAGCUAGGAAGCUUCGUCACCUGAACUGGAACCAGACUGAGCAUCAAGCAUUGACGGCUAAUAAGGAUCGAGGAGGGUCAACCAAACUACAUUGCGAACGUGUAUAAAAAAAAAUUCAUCCUCCACUACUAUAAUAGAUCAUCUCGAGUCUGCCGGAUUCUAACCCUUAUCGAUACGGUAAAGUAUAGUAGACGACAAUAAUCUAAUGACCCGCAAAUGUGCCGACUGUGUUGGAUACUGAAAACGUCAUUAUCAGCAGUAUCGGUGCUUCUCAACUACUGCACGGAUAAUAUAGUAUCCCUGCCGGUUGAGCCUUUGUGUUGGUCUGGAUACCACUUGGAGACGACGAACAAAAGUGCAAUUCACCGGCUUAUCUAGCUAGUUAUCGGUAGCAAACUCAAUUCCAAUACUUGUUCGAAGGGUGUGUUGGGUUCUGAGACGAGGUGGGAUGGAACGAUUCCACUCCGGUUUUGGGAGAUGAGGCGGUUCCGUUUAGUAUUCGAUUGAAGUGGGAUAGGUUCAUAUUCAUUUCUUGUUUGUUAGGUGUUGAGAUUGGUGGGAUUGAUGGUGUUUUUGACACCGUUAGCAACAGUGUUUAGUGGACUACAUCUAUUAUUUAAGGUCCCAAAUGUCAUCCUCUAUAUUUCUUUUUCUUUUUGUCUUUUCAUUUUUCCUUUUAUCUUCUUCUAUCAGCAUCCAUGGUUGCCCCGGCAUCCUCCUCCACCCCAGCGUCCUCUUCCCCCGUCGGUUGCCUCCUUGCACGCUUCCUAUGCCCCUGACCCCGUCGACCUCCCUUCCCAUUAGUUCCCUCCACCCCAGCCACACCCCACAUCCAACUGUGCUGACAGCCCGUUGGAGUAGGCACGCACAUCGACAACACACUGAAGCCAGCUUGACGCGCCACCCCAUUGGAGCUGGCUCAACCACCGCUUGCAGCGCCGUAGCACCGCCUGCUUGCCUUUGAUAGGGCCGCCGCUCGCUCGUCAUCGGCUAGUCUCCUCCGUGCCACCCUGCAUCGCUAGGCCUUUCCCUCGCACACAGAUGGAGAAGACGGAGCUGAGACGGGGCAAAGUGGGACGGUCCCUGUCCGCUCGUUUCAAGUGGAUGGUCCCAUCCUGCAACUGGAGAGAAUAUUCCCCUCCAGGAAUGGAUCCAUCCUACCUGUCCUUCAACCCAACACUACAUGAAACAGGGUGGACCCGUCCAGUCCCUCAACAUCCGCCGAACCAAAUACACCCUAAAUGAAUAACAUAAAACAUAUCAUAUUCAUCUACAUAAAGAUAGUUUAUGUAGUUCUUUUCACGUGCAAAUUUAUCUAUACCCCUCACAAUAGUCCCACUUUUACCAGAUAAGGGGUGAUAGAUUGUCUUACUACACUACCAUGUAAAAUUAUAUGUUCUAAAUGUUUCCUCCACUUUGGAGCACCUCCACCAAUUAUAGGAAGGAACUUCAGCAGCCUUGUCCUAAUUUAUUUUUUUGGGCGGCCUUUGUAAAUACAUUACCUAUAUGGAGUUUUCAAAACUCGAACAUACUUUGGAUAGAGUUUAAUGUUUAAUUUUUAAAUUUUAACCAACAAAUGCGAUUGUUGAUUGAGAGAUCAUCUUUAACUAAUGAAAACCACAAGUUGAAAUUGUAAUGUUCAUAUGAUAACUAUUUGGAGAUGUUUGAAAGCAGAUGCGUGUACAAAUGAAGAAAUUGCUACUAAAUGCAAGCAUGAAUUAAAAUACAUAUCAUGGUGAAAAAUUGUAUUUAACCAAAUAUAAUGUUUUUAGUAAAUAAAACUAGAACGAAUAAGUUUUUAAUCUAAAAGGGAAAUUAACAUUAGUAAGUUACAAAUAGUUGAAUAACAAUUUGAGAGCUCCAAAGUGGAAUUACAAGAUGAACUUCUAUUAAUUAAAUUGAUUCGUAUAAAAACAAUCUAGUGUUUCAUAUGAGUUACCAUACAUUGCUCAUAUGUUAUAAUUAUUUUCAUAUCAAGUGCAAUUUAUGAAGUGGUUUAGCUGAAUUCUAAAGUAAUAGUAAUAAAAAGGAUUUAAACAUGGCAACCUAAAAAUUAUGUUAAAUGUGUGUUAGCAUGGUCAUUAACAUUAAAAUUGAGUGCAUAAAUGAAUUUAAUAAUUUUUCUAGCAUAUUUACACAUGUGACAUGACUUUAUCUUUUAAUACAUAUUUUAGUAAUGGCUUAUGCUAUCUUUAUAAUUAAAUAAAAUAAAAGGUAUAAAUACGAAAAAUAUGAACCAUAUGCUCAAAAAAAAUUUACAAUUUCAAAUGAAUAAAUUUUGAAUCAUGAACAUGUUUUGUUGUUUAAACAAACUCAAAUUUGACAUUUAAACACAUGUUGCUGGAAAAGCCCCAAGUGUUGAUGUACUUUAAUUUAGCCAUCUUUAGCAACUAAUUCAAGUAACUUUUUACUAAACACAGAACUUUUGACCAACAUGAAACUAUAUACUUUCAUCUAGAUAUGUUGUGGAUGUGUGAAAACUUUGUUUUGCUCAAAAAUUUAAUCAAACCUUGAUCAAACCCCUGUUUUUACAAAUUCUGAAAAUUUCCAAGUCCUUCAUUGGAUUGCCCUAGCCUUGCUCUUUACAUGCAGGCCAAGUGUGAAAUUUUUAGAGUCAUCAACAUUCAUUGGAUUACCCUAAUCCAACCAUAGCAAAGUCGUAAAUAAAUAUGUGACCUAAUUCCGGGCAGGAUUUGAAAAUUUUUGGACUGUUUAUAGUUGAGUUAUGAAUUUUUGAAUCUUGUUAUCAGAAAUUUCCAUUUCUGCACCUAGCUGUUCCUCAUAUCGAUUCAUGGGCUAAUACCUUUUCUUGCAAAAUCACAGAGGAUAUAUUUAUUUCUGGACCGGACCGUCUCAUUUAACUGUGUUUGUAAUAUUUUCUUUUAAAAUUUUAUAAAGUUUGUUCAGUUAUUUUUACAUGUUUGAUAUUCCAUCUUUGUAAUUGAAGCUUAUCUCUUGUUCUUCGGUUUUUCCUUUUUUCUUUUUUUUCUUUUUUGCGAACCGAGCUUGGAGCUUCCUUAGCCAUGCCAAAUUUUGAAGGUCAGCGAACAAUAUCCCGUUCUUCCGUGUUGUAUUUGGUGAUGAUCAAGAAAACAGAAAUGUGACUAAAGAUCUAACCGUAACACUUUUUACAUCGAUAUAAAUUUGUUUUUAGGUAUUUCCCAAGAUGAUAAGCACACUCAUACAUUAGUCAAACAUUUUUUGCUCUGUACGAAGAAUAAUUCUCUUUGGACCUGAGGCUGAAAAGCAGAUCCCUUGUGCUUGGAUUGUUUGCAGGAAAUAAAGGUACGAUUUGCAAACAUGCAAUGUGUCGGCGAUAUACUGAUGUGUGAAACGAAACACUCUGCAUGGGGAUUCUACGACACUAUCCUGUUAUGUGCAUAGAUUUUAUUCAACACUGAAAUUUGCUUUUCUGGUACUUCCACUUCUCUGGCAGCACUAUACGAACUUUAUGAAAUGUAGCACUCCCUAGGCUAAUUAGUUCAUUUUUAUAUAGUAAACUCAAGUGGUCAAUCAUCCUGGGCAAAACUUCGGCCCAUCGAACAAGUUUUGCUGCUUGCAGAGUGGGCCUUGCCAAUGAGCCGGGGGCCAAAUUCCAGCAAAGCAGCAUGCAAGAGUCAUGCAGGAUCAAGAGAACAGAGAACUGAGAUUAAUUAAAACGACGAGACAUACAGUACUGAUACAAACCGACUACCUGUAGCUAGGUCCUGGUACGUACAGACACCUACGUACAUAGGAGUAUUACGCUUCCAACUAAGCACUUGAGACUACGUGCAACUCGACUGCUAGGUACGACGCGGCGCCGGCGACGGCGCGGUGCACGGUGGGCAUCCAUGACUAGCUAAAACAUGCAUGUCAGCUACUAGCUAGGCCUAGGUGUCGUCGUAGGACAUGUACUUUGAGAUGGCCUUGGUGCCCUCGGACAUGGCGUGCCUGCCGAGCUCCCCUGGGAGCACGAGCCUGACGGCGCUCUGCACCUCGCGGGAGCUGAGCGUGGCCCUCCCCGCGGCCUUGGACAGCCGCGCCGCCUCGUCCGCCAGGCGCUCGAACAUGUCCGCCAUCAUCAUGUCCAGCACCCGCAUCGCGUGCCCGGACACGCCCAGCUCCGGGUGCACCUGCUUCAGCACCCGCCACACGUACCGCUUGUACCCGCCCAUGCCGCCCAUGCCGGCGUCGCCGCCCGGGCUCGCCUCGCCCAGCCGCCUCCGCCGCCCGGUCUUCGCCUUGCCGCCGCCGCCGCCUCCACCGCCCCGCUUCUUCUGCUUCUGCGGCGUCGUCUUCGUUCCUGUUGUUUUCCUCUCCGACGCCACCCGCGGGGUCUCCGGCUCCUCCUCAUCUCGCCGCCGCUGCUGCGGCGGCGGCUUCCUCCUCUUCUUGCUGACGUCCACGUCCUCCUCCUCCUCCUCGUUGGGCUCCUGGGUCUCCAGACUCUGCGGUGGUGGUUCUUGUGCGGCUUCUUCAGCAGGAGCCGGCGGCUUCUCCUCCUCGCGCCGGCCACCACGGCCUCUCUUGGCGGUGGGCUGCUGCUUCGCACUGGAGCGGCCGGUGGUGUUGUCGCUGUCCGGAGUAGUGAUCUCGACGUGCACCACCUUGGAGCGCGAGACCUCCCCGGUGCGGGGCGCCAGGGCCAGAGCCCCUGGAGCCAGCUGCUGCUCCGGCUCACCGUCGGCGACAAUGGCGGUGGUGACCUCCACGGUCUCCUGCACCACCUUGGUCUUCACCACGGAGCCGACCACCUUGCCACUACUACGCCGCUUGGGAGCCAUGAUGCCAACCAAAUCUGCUACGCAGAGCAGAGGGUACUAACACUAACAGAGAAUGCUAACACUAACAGUGGCGACGAUGACAGACAUGCAGCUCGGUGGGGAAGAGGCUCCUUUAUGCAGGGCACGGCAGGGACACGUCACAGCCUCACACCAGGCCGGGGGUGGACACGCGGCUGCCUGGAAGGGCGAGAGGGCGACGUGGUAACUUCUGCCGCCUGGGGCUCCGGGAACAGGAAGACAGACACAGUUGCACUGCACGCUCGUGUCGCCGUGGUGACAGGUCCUCUCGUUGAGACAGGUCGAUAAGAUAAGUAUGCAGGGCGAAUGGAGGGAGAGGGAGGGAUCGAGAAGGGCAGCAGCAGGUUCAAAUUAAUCCAGAGGACUCGUUGAUCCACGCGCGCGCGGGCUCUCUCUCUCUCUUUGAACGGACGGCAAGAGCUUUGCCAAAUUUUUAUUAGAUGGAAAAGCAUAAAGAAAAAGAAAAUACAACUAGCAGGGCCAACCGCCCCCCACUAUGCAAGGAAUAACUAAUACUUAACUAAAAAAUAGAGAGCAAAAGAACAACGAGUAAAAAGGAAGAUGCUCGCAACUCAGAAAAAUUGCAUAGGUUUCGACCUGCACUCCGUUUGGAUAACUUUAGUUGCUGGUGGUAUUCCUUUAUAAGAUAAGCUACCUCCUUCACGAUCGAUGAUUAAAUGUCCUACGAUUUCUUUCCUUUCAUAUGUUCCAUAAAAAAUAUAUGACCAAUCCAUCAAAAAAUGAUAUGUUCUGUGUUGAUAUGAGUUUCCGGCCUUUUUUCCACCAUCUAUGAAUGGAAGAUGGUCCGUUUGUGACUGGUAGAUGCGGUAGGGUAAACCAUAUUGCCAACUUAUUCCAAACCGUUGCCGUGUAAGUGCAAUUUUUGUAUAAAUACGUCGGCGUUUCUCUCUCUUGCGGUUCGAAUCACGCUGGUCAGAAGUUUUGCGCAGUUCGCCCCACAAUUUCGUAGGGACAGUCGUGUUCACUGCCGCGACGAACUACAGUGCAUCGAGCUUUCUUAGAAUCGUAUCAUAAUAUUUGACAUACAGUGAUACGAAGGUAGUAUAUCAUACUACACCCACUUAAUUAAAGUUAAAUUUUUAGACAAAAUUAUUGACUUGCCCGUAGCCCUUCUAGGCCAUUUCUCAAUGGUAGUUUUAUGGCUGCCACGUAGUCAAUUGUGGUAAUAUGGGCAUACUGUUUAUGAGGUAAGAGAAGAAACUAGUUUCUUGGAGAUGAAACCAUGUAUACACUAUUUUCAAAAUAUUAAUGUCUUGCAUGUAGUCUUGGAAACAACAAAGUAUGAAACAAUGAAUUGUAUAAUUUAUUUUAUCCUUGAAUUAGAUACAAUCUUGUUUAUGUGGUAUGCUUGAAACAUAAAUAUGAAACAUUGCAUUAAGAAUGGUCUUACGUCUCUGUAUGAGUUAUACAUUCAUUUUUUUUCAUUAUUACCGAUUCUGGCGUUUUUCGCUGAUAAGUUAAUGCCAACAAAUAGCAACAUAAAUGUUGGGGGAAAAAAGGCAUAAACUCAGAAGGUAGUAACCAUGUGCAACGCCUCACAUCUAUUAUUGUUGUGUCCAACAUGCAGGACACCCACUUAAUUAUUGCCCGCUCUCUUUUAACUAUGAUCGAAAGGAGAUCCAGUAUGUACCUCCGCAGAUGAUCUGUAUGUAUAAGUAUAAUUUUUUCUUGUAAAGGGAAUAUGAAUUCUACGCAUUUAAAUAGACCAACAUACCAAGAUCCUGUUUGUUUGAGCUUUUUGACAGCUUCUCAGCGUGAAAAGUCAGAAGUUCAAACAAACAACGAUUUUCUCGUGUAGCUUCCGAAAAGCUGGAAGUUCAGAAAAGCUGAGUUUAUAUGGAAAGCUGAAAAGCUCAGUUUUAUAAACUUUUCGAAGCUUUUUGAGCUUAGAAAACUAAACACAUCUUCUAGAAGAUAGUGUUAACUUUUUAGAAGCAAAAAAGCUAGCAACAACUUUUCAGAAAAGAUCAAAAGCUACAAAUCAAACAAACAUGCCUUGACUCAUCCUGAGCCCAAAUUUUGUUUGAAGACAUAACUUCAGUUCUAACUUCUAAUCCCCGUAACCAAUUCCCAAGCUACACUAUGCGGCAGCUAUAAUCCAAAAGCAACUUAAAUUAUUCUCUAAAUAAAUCUUGAAACGUGACAAUUAAAAAUAAGUGUAAGUGUAGGACUGUUUCCUUAUUAUCAAAAACAAAAUAAUUUUCACUAUCUUUCUAAUUUCACUUGAUUAGAUUCUCUGGUAAAAAAUACUCCCUCCAUCCAAAAAAUAAGUCAUUCUAGGUUAAAAAUACCUAGAGCCCCUUGAUGCUCACUACCUUCCCAAAAAAAAUGAUCUAUAGCAGUUUAACUCUUUAAGAUACAUUUUUGUACUUUAAAGAAAGACAUUAUAUACAUGGCAAGGAUGCGCUCAGCACAUAAUUUAUCAGUACUAGGCGACUACCACAAGACAGAAGUAUACCUUUCCAACUGCUUUUAGCCUUUUAAAAACGAACUUCAAAGGAUCCCCUAUAAUUAUUUGUGAGCUUUCCAUGAUUUUUGGGAUGCUAAUAUAUCUAAAGAAAUAGUGCUCCAUAUCCACACUGUGAAUAUUGAACCUCAUAUAUCUUUGCUUCACUCCUUUAAAAAUUGAUCUUCAAUCCAGAUAAUUGCUCAUAACCACAUAACAUAAUAGUGUAUGAGAAGAAGAUGAAGGUAUGGUUAACACAGAAAGUUAUAUUUUCACACAGAAUACUUGAUCCUGGUUCAAUGUAUGUACACACAUUGGUGAUGGCCUGAUGGCGAGCGAAUUGAAGCUUGGUAAGUUGUUGUAUGUUUAGGACCCUGUGUCCCAGUCAACAAAUAGAGUACACUCAAGUUAUCCAGGAUUUAAUCACUACAGUGUCUCUGGAUUUGUUAAAAAAAGCUACAUUUUAGAGUUACGUAAAGAUCAGUUGGUUAAUUUUACUUACACCUAAAUUAGUUUUUGCAGGAUUACUAAAGAUAACGUUUCAGAAUUCAGAGGCACAACAGCAGUGUCAUCAGUCCCUCCCCAUCAGCAUGUUGGUGACUCCAUCCACAAUCUUGCUCCGCAGUGAAGAUGAGAGAUCAUGCUCCUCACCAAAGUGCACCCUGUAGACUUCCCACUCCCUAUCUUCCACAACGUGUCUGCCAAUCUCAGCCUACAAACAUCACGAUGCUCCAUUAGUUGUUACGAGAUGCUUCUCAUCUCAGUAAAAAAUAUAUUCAUCUAUGAUUGUAAUAAUUGUUAAAGAUGCACAAGGAUAUACUGUACAUUAUAUAGUACCAUACCAAGAAGAUUCGUUUCUGAAGAUUCUUGAGAGCAAGGGUGAUGUCAUAGAACACCAACGGCCUACCCUUGCCAGAGACCUCAACGGGGUUUGCUACCAGCAGCUCUGUGUCAGGACCCCGGUCCACCAAUGCCACACGCAGUGGUCGGAGGAGUUCCAUCCUUAGGCGACAACACAGGGAUCCCUGCCUUUGCAGAUCAAGGAUCUUCUUUCCAUCUGAUUGCACUACGAACAAAUCCACAUCACACCUUCGAUUUUGGCUAGCAUAGAAUCGGCCAUAGGAGAUCUGACACCAAAGAAAAUUGAACUUGCUUCUUCAUUAUUUUCCUUCGUAGGAGGGUGAAAUACAACUGAAAUUAGGCUUGUAUCAAUUGUAGUUACCUGAAUGUUGCAGUCCUUGACUGUCCUCAUGAUGUCAUAUAGGAGGCCCUUACGAUCACCACACUGAAUCUGAAUAAGAGUGUGCACAGAGCUUAGAGAGUUGUCCAUUGUCACGGAGAUGGUAUCACCACCUCUUGUGCUGAUUGACUGCUCCUCUAUGAGAUCCAUGUUAAACAUCUGUUCCACUACAGCAGGCAUCAACGAAGCACAAGCUUGAAGGCAAGACAACAUCUCUUCGGUGGCAAGAUCUAUUUCACGACUUGUCAAGGAGUCCCCUAAGACACUAUCGAGUUUGUCGUACGCUUCUUCCCUUCUGCUCUUUGUGUGCAGAAGCUCCCUGAAAUCAUUCCAGAGUGUUCGUUUACUUUCUAGAGGAGAUAUGGAGCUCAUAGUAUUCUAAAAGGUGGAAAUUAGUAACCAUAAACCACAAACAGGCAGCACCACACUAUGAUGUUAAAAAAAGAAUGGACGAUUCCUGAUAUAUCAGCAAAGAUGCUUGAUGAAUAAUAUAAUGUAUGAUUUCAUCAUAUUAUCAUGGAGUAAUAGUUUCUGGAAUCAAGAAACAAAAAAAAAAGAUCAUUAGAAGGCACUGAAAAGGAUGUGUUAGGAGAUAAGAGAC